This 67303-nucleotide long non-coding RNA is filed under the name Pelobates cultripes (western spadefoot toad). The record is from RNAcentral. Lineage: Eukaryota; Metazoa; Chordata; Amphibia; Anura; Pelobatidae.
CAAAGCAGGUCAUUCAAUACACAAUUUUCUUGCAUUCUAAUAUAUUCACUUUUAAAUAUACUGUCCACUUUCAAGGUACAAUGGAAGCAGAAUAUUUCCAGCACAAAGGAAUUAACUUCAAUUCAUUAUUAUACUCAGAAGAACAUCUUAAUUAUUUGGAAAAUGAGUUUCAGGUUCGGGAUGAGGAUGUCUUCAAUGUUACUUUCCCUAAAUCAGGUAUGUGUGCUGUACCAAUAACAUAAUAUAAAAAAUAGGAAUAUUGCAAUUGUAGAUACAAGCAUACAAAAUGACCACAUAAGACACUAGUACCCAUUAGCAUUUUGUGCAAUUUUAGUUUUUUUUACCAAAUGUGUGUGUGUGUAUGUAUGUAUAUGUGUGUGUGUGUGUGUGUGUGUGUGUGUGUGUGUGUGUAUAUAUAUAUAUAUAUAUAUAUAUAUAUAUAUAUGUGUUAUCUGUAUUAACUUAUCUUUAUAGUAUAUUGUUAAUAUAUCUUCAUUGCCUUUGUUUUUCUUCAGUCAUAUUAAUAUAACUUCCAUUAUAUUUGGAAUAAAUGUGUUCUGACAAGACUAUUUUGUUUUUAGAUACUAUCCGAUCUGCAGGUACUAACUGCAUAAAUAGUGGCAUUCUUAACACUGAUAAAGUGUAAGAGUGUGAGUGUGUUUAUUUUUUCUGCAUAAUACUCAAUCAGAUACAUUAUUGGCUUAUUAUCAUAGAAUCACGAGAAAAGCUAGUGGCAAAUGUUUUCAAUUAUUAUGGUUAGCGUUUAUAUAGCACCUGCUUAUUCCACAGAGCUUUACAAUGUUAUAAAGGGGGAAAGUUUAACAAUAAAUGUAACAAUUACAAAAUGUUACAGGAACAGUAGGUUGAUGAGGACUCUGUCAAACAAGCUUACGAUCUUGACUAGAUAAUUACUUUAUAUGCAUUCAUACUUCAGUGUUACAGCUGCCAUAACCAUCACAGGCCAGACAUUUGCUUUAACCCCUUAAGGAUGCUGGUCGGAAACUUUUCAUCAUUACAGUCCUCUGUCCAAUACUAAAAUAAACCCCAGAUUGCCGCAAUAGUGGGGUUAAUGGCAGUAUCACUGAUUCGACCGGCAGUCAGAGUGAUCACACGUGCUGCAGUGAAACCCGAUCUGUCUGCCUGCAACUCCUUGUGAGCUGUGAAGUGCAGGGAGACAGAUUGGCUCUGAUCUGCUUACCUGUGUAAAAAAACAAAACAAAAAAAAGUGUUAGGUUAAAAUAACAACUCACCCCUUCCCAAUAAAAUUUAACUCCUUUGCUGUGUGUAUGUAUAUGUGUGUAUAUAUAUAUAUAUUUUUUUUUUUACACUUUACUUUUUAAUCCAUUUAUUUUAAUUUUAUUUUCAGCCAGCAGGCGGACCACCUGUCAUUACAGGCAGCCCCCCUGCUGGCAAUGCAGGAGGCAGCUACCCCCGGCCAUGUGAUUGUGGGGUCCUCACAAGGACCUCACUCUCACAUGGCCGGGGGGCACCGGAGGAGGAGGAUCUACUGCGGGGGGUCUCCCUGGGAGUCCCCCCCACCGCGAUUGCCGGCGUGGGACCGCCGGCGACCGGGUAAGUAAAGAAAGACCGGAGGGCGUACAAUUACGCCCGGCGGCGUUUAGAGCCGCCUAAAAUAGGGCGUAAUUGUACGCCCUCCGGUCUUAAAGCGGCACUGUCAUGCCGAACUUACCUUUCCUAAAUCUCUUCCUCUUCUCCCCCUCUCUCAGGAUCUGUUAUUCUUUUCUUCCUGUCUUCUUUAGUUUUCUUUAAAAUCAUAAGACAAAGUAGGGACUCUUUGCCUUAUGGAGGAUUCCUCCGCUUGACCAGCUCUGACCAGCGGAGGAGCAAAGUGUGCUUCAUUUCAGCUGGUCAGAGCAAUUUUCCCAUGAUCCCUAGCUUUCCUCAGUGUUCCCACAAUGCUUCCUGUCAUUUUACAUGAAACUGCCGAAUUGCGUUCUAACUGAAUGACAACAGUAUGUUCGUUUCUUUUAGAACGCAAUUCGGCAUUUUAUUCGGAUCGGAAUUUCAUUCUAAUGAAUGAAACUCUGAUCCUAUUCAUUGCUGUGGCUGCACCUUGCAGCCGCUUAGUAGAUAACUCCCUAAUUCCCACGGUAUCAGGGAGCUAUCUACUAAAAGGCUGAAAGACCUAAAUUGGUCUUUCAGCCAAAUUUACUAAUACUGAGUAAAGAUUACUUAGUAUUAGUAAAUUAAAUGCCCCUACUCGCUAUACCGCGAGUAGGGGCAUGUGUAGUAAGCAGUGAGCAGCUUAUAGCUGCUCACUGUAAAAAAAAACAAAAAACUAAUAAACCCCCCCCAUGCCCAUGGGGGCCCUAAAUAAAGAUGGGGGGACCUACUGGCCCCCCCUGGCCCCCACCCCUGAGUGGUGGGCGGUGGCACUAAAUAAAGAUAUGGGGGGGGAACUUCUGUCCCCCCACUGGCCCCCACCCCUGCGCGGUGGGUGGGGGCCCUAAUAAAACAAUAAGGGGGGACCUACUGUCCUCCCCCCCUGGCCCCCACCCCUGCGCGGUGGGUGGGGGCCCUAAUAAAACAAUAAGGGGGGGGACCUACUGUCCUCCCCCCCUGGCCCCCACCCCUGCGCGGUGGGUGGGGGCCCUAAGAAGAUUUUAGAAAAAAGAAGACGUUAAAUGGUAAGUUUAAUUUUUUUUUUUUUACAGGUUAGUUAUUUUAUUCCCCCCCUCACUAUUUGUAGGGUGAGGGGGGUAGGUAGGGGAUAGGUUUUUUUGGGUGGGGGGGUGGUGACUAGGGGCUUGGGACCCCUAGUCACCUUGAUUGGGGAGGGGGUGUUUCAUUUAGGGCCCCCACCCACCGCUUAGGGGUGGGGGCCGGGGGGGGAGGACAGUAGAUCCCCCCCCUUAUUGUUUUAUUAGGGCCCCCACCCACCGCUCAGGGGUGGGGGCCAGGGGGGGAGGACAGUAGGUCCCCCUUAUUGUUUUAUUAGGGCCCCCACCCACCGCUCAGGGGUGGGGGCCGGGGGGGGGAGGACAGUAGGUCCCCCCCCCAUUAUCUUUAUGGCCCCCACCCGCCGCUCAGGGUGGGGGAGGGGGGGAGGACAAUAGGUCCGCCCCCCCUUAUUGUAAUUUAUGUCUUUUUUUUUCAACAGUGAGCAGCCACAGGCUGCUCACUGUUUAGUAGACAUGCCCCUACUCGCGGUAUAGUGAGUAGGGGCAUUUGGGAGAUUUAAAUCUCUCUUGUGCUAUUAUGGGGGUCAUAUUGACCCCCAUAGAGUGAGAGGGGGUACUGGGGGGCUUAUGAAGUGGUGGGGAGCACUGCUCCCUGCCACUUCUAUAGUUACAUAUUACAAGGAGGGAGCUGCACGCCGGUAGCUCCCUCCUUGUAAUAAACUGCACGAACAAACAUACACUGAUACUCAGAUACACUGAUACAUUGUGUUUGUUUGUUCGGCUGAUCUUUCUAUUCACUCAUUCGUCUGUCUGAUGAAUGAAUGAAUAGAUGAAAUUCCCGUUCGCAUGUCCAGGUGUUUCACUGGGCAUGUGCGGGAAUCUCAGUGUCUGCCUAGUGUGGGCUGAUGACGUGUCCCACAGGGACUUCACCUACCCACACAAAGAUGGCGGCGCCCUGAAUCAAGAUCGGGGCAGAAAAUAAGGAUUAAAAAAUAGGUAAUGUGGGGGGCUUAGGGGCAUUUGGGGGUGACUAGUGGGUCAAUUGGAUGUAGUGGAGGCGGGAGGGGGGUUAAAAAAAAAACGGGUUUCGGCAUGACAGUGCCGCUUUAAGGGUUUAAACUGAAAUCCUAAACAUUUACAUUUGUUUGGUUUGUUUCUUUUCAAUUUGCAACAAUUCCCCUAGUGAAUAAAUCCCCACUUAAUUUAAAAAAAAAUUAUAAUUAUGAGCCCUUCCCAGUAAUUAUCAGAAGAAUUAUCCUAAAGAUGUAAUAUGUUGCAGUUCACAUGGUUUAAAAAUAAUUUGCUUUGAUCUAAGCAGAAACUUGUCAUUCUUUUGAAAAGGAAAUGAGUGCUAUUUUUUUUUUUUUUUUUAAUUAAUGCUUUUCUUUUAUGGGUACACAUAAAAUUCACAGCUUUCUUGCAGUCUUUAAUUUCCAGUUUUUCCUGUUUAAUAUACAUAUUUUGUGUUUCUCUAAAUUAUAAAGGAGAUAUAAUUAUCAAUUAUAUAAUAUCAUUUUCUGGAUUUGUUGUAAUUCGUCAAGAACCUACCUGAAUUAAAACCUUGGAGUGUCAAUAUUUUUUUAGAUAUUUAUGCAUUUGUGACUGGGCACCAGGUAUUUAUUUAUUUUUUCAUUGUUGGAGUGCAAAUGUGUGGGUGUUGUAGUGGGUUGUUUUUUGGGGGGUGGGGUGUGUAUAUGUGGGGGUGCAGUGUGCAUGGGGUGAGGGGUGUGUGUGUAUAAUUGGCAAAAGUUGGGUUUUGCUUCCAAAAAUCAGGUACUUAAAAAACCCAAAACAAAACACUGCUGCCAUGGAGGAGUGCCAUGCUGCAGUUCUUUGUGGUCCUAGUGGUGAGUGAACUCUACCCUGCAGUUCCUGGUAACUAUGGCAGCGUUCCGACCUCGCAAGAGGAACCCAGCGGAGCUGCAAGAUAGAGCUCCACUGGGUCCUCCUCUCCCUCCCCAGCCAGCGGCAGCAUGUCAGUGCCUGUGGGCCGGUGAGGGAGAUCUUUGAUCUCCCCACCGGCCCACGAAGGCACACAGCAGGGCUGGCGCUCAGAUAGUGCAGGCCCUACAUGGGUCGACCAGGGAGAUCCUGUGAUCGCGACCCACCGGCAAUUUGCCCGAUGGCCAGUCAGGAGGUGGUCACUUAGUAUCCCUAUUGCUCCACCCCUGGAUCAGGCGUGGCAAUUCACAGGGUGUAUCUCCUGUGAUUCUGAAGGGUGUUUGUGUACUUGCUUGGGGCCAAGAUCUAAUUUUGAGUGAGUCACCAUCUUUCCUUGCCAGAGACCCCCUGGACAGAAGUUGUACUUUGAAAAACCUAAGUUCGUAAUUAGGACUUGGACUUCUGUAUUUUAUCCUUUUUGUUUUUAUCUGUUGUUGGUGUAAAUAAUUUGUUUAUCAUAUAUUGUUAUAUGCACUGUGAUUAAUUUUUGCUCAUAAUAAUCAUUCAUUUAUUAAGUUCUGCCUUUGUCUGGUUAAGAAUCACGUUACCUGAAGAGACUGGUUAGUAUUUUUAUAAUUCCUUAAAUAUUGUGCUAAGUAAUAUUUGGUGGGUUUUAUUAUUGAUUUACCUGGGGGACCAAGGCACCCCAUUUAUAAAUUGUGUUGGUGGCGGCAGCGUUAAAAUAGUAAUAGUUAUAUUAUUAUGUUUAAGUGUGGGUGGUGUUAAAGGGGGAUUUUGUCAUUAUUUCCGGUCUAGUGCAGACAAAUAGUGAACUUUAACCCUUUCACAACCACAACUACGUCACGCGCACUCUUGGAGUAGUGUGCGUUCGUGACAUGCUCAAUUUUGGUAUCCAUGACUUUGGCUUGUCUAUCACUUUUGCUAUUUACCUGUUGGUAAUUAUAUCAUGUGAUAUCUAUGGAUAGUAGUUGAUAAAACAGUGGCGGAACUACCGACUGUGGGGCUGCACCAGGCCUCGCAUGGCCAGGGAGGCCAUUGUGUGGCCCAUGUACUUAGGGCCACAUGAUGUAUAUGAUUUAUUUAUUCCUGAGCAGGGGAUGGGUUGUGUGUCACAGCCCUUUUAAGAGCUUGUCCGGAUCCCUGCAGUAUCUGCUGGCUGCGAGAGUGAUAAACAGCAGAUCACUUCCUCCCAGCUUAACACAGAGUGCAGCGUGAGAAGUCGGGAGACGGAGACCCCACAGACAGGCAGUCCAAAACUCCACACUCCCAUCAACCUUGGGAAGCAGCACAAGCAACCACCCUCCUGGACACAAACGUUAAGCUAACAAGAGGGUGGCUGCAACUAUAAAAAAAAAAUUAAGACAUUUUAUGUUUUUGUGUGUGUAUUUGUUAGUGUGUUUGUGAUAUAUCAGGGUGUAUAUGAAUUUGUGUGUUUGUGUGUGUAACUAUGUAUGCAUGUGCAUACAUACAAGCAAUCAAACCCUAACACAACACGCAAACACAUUUCUGCAAUUGAAUACUAGUAUUGCAUACAAACCUACACACAACAAUACAUUCACAUUCAAAAGCCAACAUUACAUCCAAAUACACCCCUGCAAUCAGACAGACAAGCACAGCCCUAAUUAAGACACUAAAAUUAUAUAAAAGCACCCCCCUUCAAUCAAACAAGCAAUACACACAAAAGAACACCUUAAUUUAAAAGCCAACACAACAUACAAACACACCACUGCAUUCAAACACAAGCACUACAUACAGGUACACCACUGCAUUCAAAUGGCAACAGUACAUACAAUUACACCCCUACAUGCACUCACAUACUCUAUACAGAAACAUGCUUACGAAUGUAACCUUGCAAGGAUGGACAAAUGGUAGAUCCCCACCUGAUGUAGCAAUGUUGAACUUGAAUAACAGAUGUCAAUCUACCUUUUGAUCACUUUUGCAAUAGAGGAAACAGGUGGGGGGGGACGGGCAAAAAACACUCUUGCACCGGGGCCUCAUUACAUUUGUUCUGCCACUGUGGUAAAGCAUUACUGUACCUUAUUAUUUCGAUUAGAAAGUUCCUUUAUUGUCACGGUGGAAAAGUAACCUCCCAUUAGAAAAAACAUAAUUUCAAAGGACUUAAACGCUUGUAACUUCUUUUAACUACUUUAAAACUACCUAAACUACUGAUGACUCAGGCGACUCCAAACUGAGGAAAAUGCCAAAUUAGAGCAAAAACUCCCCAGUAAAUCCUCCCUUUGGCAUCUAGCAUAAACUCUUCAGUGACUUUUUAAGCACAUUCAAUUUAUUUUGUUUACUGUGAACCCCUAAGGAAUUAUCUAUUUAAUCACAUAUUUUAGGGCAACAUAGCAGAGCUUUUUUGUUUGUUUUACAUUUAGCUGUUUUAACCUAAAAUGUGCACUUAAAAAUUAAACUGUCAGAAUUAUUGUCCUCCACUUUUGCAGCUGUUCCUUAGUAAAAGUUGGGGAUUUAAUUGUUGGGUUAGCCUGCUCUAUAAUCCAAACAUUAUUGUGAAUUACCUGUAUCUGUGACACUUAAUCCCUUUCGCAACACUAGACAGACAUUUUCCGUCAUGCUUGUUCUACCGUUAAGGACGCAUGACCGACAAUUUCCAUAAUUUACGAAAGUUAACCCCAGAUCGCCGCGAUUGUAGCACUACAGGGACUACAUUUUACUGUCUGAAACAAGGGGCACGGAGGUAUACACAGCCAGCUCCUGAACCCCCCCGGCAAUCAGGGGCAAGAAGGUUGUUACUUACCCAUCAGAAGGGUAAUCACUUGCAUGGUCAGAGCUUCCUCCACAGGCACAGGUCUGCUAUAGGCCGGAAAGCACGACCAUGUACAGCACUGCAAUGGUAGAGCAGGCUGUAACCUCAAAAGGCAGUAUAACACCUAUCACUCACAGGCAUUCAAAAGUGGAUAAUUAUACAUGGCAGAUUGCAAGCUGGAUAUAUGUAUUGUACAAGUAAUGUUAAUGUAUUGAUUAGGUUGUUGCAAAAUUCUCAUUUAGAUACAUGGCUGAUUAUUAGUAUAUAUGUUGAAAUAAAAUUGCAAUGUGCAUAACAGUUAUGAAUGGUUUUCCUCUCUGGCUGUUAUUUAUGCUGGAAAUUUACGUGUAAAAAAUUUAAAUAAAAGUACAACUCUGCUUUUAUAAAUGGGAAAUUAAUUGUCCUGGUAAAAAAAUCUGUUGUAUACUCAUUUCAGGGUUUUUCAUUAAAUCUGCAGAUGUGCUUUUGUGAUUCAAGACCAAAUCACAAUCUCAAGAAAUAUUUUUGUCGCCUUAUAACUGGUAUGUGCAUUUAGUAUCAGGCACUAGUACUUAAGUCUCACAUGGAGGGACAAGAAGCGGCAUAUGUUAACUCGGUAUUUGUCAUUUUGAUCUCUAGAUUCUCCUUGCAGGGUUCAGAGACCUAGACAAAGACAAGAGUAUUGUGUUUCUUCCAUUGGUACGUGCACUAUAUGUAACAAUCAUACGUUUCGUUACUCAGACAUAAUACGGCACUUAGUGCACAAGCACAUAAAUGUGCGCCAGGUACAAACUGUACCAAGCAGACAUUUACAAUACUGCUAUAACUUAUUCUGACGUGUUACAGACUCAAGAAGCCAAGUUUAGACAGACUUGGCCCAUCAGAACCUACAAUAUACGUGACAUACAGAACAAUUUCAUAUGUCAUCUAAAGAUAUAGGUAGGUGUCCAUAGGAUAUUCUACAUACGAUUAGGGGUGGUAGUUUUCAUCAACGAUAUAUUAGUACAAACUCAUAUGUACCCUAUACCUUCCAUUCUGUCAUCCAUCAUCUGGUUUAGGCCUCCCCCCUUAGCUGGAAAUCAGACUACUACAGCCAACACCCAUCCUCCACGAAAGAGGUAAUAACGCCCCACGGGCCAAGCCAUAGCUAGACACCUCGCAUGUUGCAUAGUAAGGGUGUCACUCAUCACAACCCCUCUGCAGAUCAAAGACUCAUCCCUUGUAAGCCCACAUCCAGCAGAUCACCCCCUCACGCCAACCAUAGGUAGAGCCGACCCAGGCACUUGGCGACUAGUAGGGACUCGCCUGUUACCAGUAUAAUGAAUUGUUUUGCCACCUUGGCACUAGUUAAAACAACUGUAUACACCCUCAAGAGAAACUCAUGAUUCCUAUAUAUAUGUAUUUCAGUAUGUUCCAGAAGAAGUAGAUAACAUUUCUAUUCCAAAUAGGACUGCCACCCCUACACGAAAAGGGGACACCGGCAGUCCAUCUUCAAUUAGAUCGUGGACCAUCCCACGAAUCACGGCCGAAUUACGCAGGCGCAGCAUAUUCUUUCCAGCUACUGCCUGCAAAGCAGAACUAUUUAGGCUAAUGCAAGCCAAUUGAGGAAAUAUACAAAAUAGAUAAAUAGGCGCAAGAAAAAAAAAAAAAAAAAUAUAUAUAUAUAUUUUAGCACCUGCAAUAAGCCCUGGUAAUGAGGUACCCAAAUUGUUAAAAGACAAAAAAGUGCCGAUGUGCAGAAUAUUUGACACACUUGUGGUGUCGCCACAUGUUUCUAGGCUGUUUUUGUAGUACAAAUAGUGCUAUCCCAUACAACACACGUGUAUAUACCACACAUAUGUGAAUAUACUUUUGCAUACACAGGAUAUCUGCAAGAUGGGAGACAAAAAACAAAAAUCGCACUCCUAGUGCAAUAAAAUAACUUAAAUCAAAUAAAAUCAAUUGCCCUCAGUAAAAAUGCAACUCACAAAUAGGGAGUGGUAAAAGCUCCACUCCUAGCUCAAGUUAUUUUAUUGCACUAGGAGUGCGAUAUUUUUUUUUUGUUUGCUUUGUUUUUUUGUCUCCCAUCUUGCAGAUAUCCUGUGUAUGUUGCCGGCAGGGUAAAAGUAUAUUCACAAAUGUUUACUGGUAUAUACACGUGUGUUGUAUAGGAUAACACUAUUUGUACUACAAAUACAGCCUUACAUUUUUGACACACUUGUGGUGUCUCCACAUAAUACUAACAAUUCAGACGCGGGAGAAGGCACCAGUGGCAUGAGCAAUGCCAAUCUGCAUCCCAUGAUUGCCUCUUUAGUGUCAUCCAUGGGACAGAUCAAUGAUAAACUGGAGAAUCUGGAAGCCAGUAGCUGUCCAGUCAUGACACCUGAGCUGCUCGCAAUCGAUAUUCCCUUCCCACUCCCAACCCGGUAAUAGUAAUACGCCCACCAUCUUAGGGUCACUAGUUAUUAACCCAGCCUAUAUGGUACCGGUAAGCCUCAAGAAAGACAUCCUGGAGGGCAAAAACGUUAAUCUCGUAUCGCUUCUCAUUGCCUCCCAGGAUGCCACAGAGAACCGCUUGUAUAGGUAUGGCGAUAUCUCAGGGGUCCUUAAGGCCAGAGACCCAAGACUGAGUAAAAAGCUGUCCAUCCUAGAUUUCAUAAUCGCCUUCGGCAUUUACAGGGACGUGCUGUGCUCAGUAUACCUGCAGAGAAGAAUUAGAUUUGUAUAUGCACAAGCUGGUGGACCUGGGCAACAAAUACGGUGGUUUGUCAUUUUACGACUACCACCGUUCAUUUGCAACAAAGGCGACAACGGCUCUGGCCCAGUACAACGCCAAAAUGGACUAGAGCCAAAUGGAUACAAAGCUGUUCCUUAGGCACUUUUCCAGGCUAAGGUCCCCAGCUUGUGCCAAAUGCGUGCUACCAUGCAUGCGGUAUAUACAUCUCUUCAAACAUAUUUCAGGCUUACUGGAUACCACACCUUUCGACCCGCGUACAAACACGGUUCUUAAAUCCGCAAUAUACUUGGCUUUCUACGGCUUCCUCCGACUCCGAGAAUUCACUGUCACAGGGCAACACGCUUCUAAGCAUUGUCUACGGUACUCAAAUCUGUACAAACUACAAGACCAUUACGUGCUAAGCCUACCCUCAACUAAGACCAGCCAGCUGGGACAAGAGGUACUUAUACACUACUACCCCACCAACAACACAUGGUGCCCGGUGAAAGUUUUUGACACAUAUCUUAUGUCAAGAACCACACAAACCUCACUCCCUCUCCUUUCACUGCACGGGGCCACCCUUACCACCUCUAAAUUCAUGGUGUACUUACGAUUAUUGUUGUCACGCCUCGGCUUAAACACCACCAAAUAUUCAGGACAUUCAUUUAGGAUAGGGGCAGCAUCCACUGCCUCAAGCCAAGACAUCCCAGACCAUGUAAUCAAAACCUUGGGCCGCUGGAAGUCAUCCGCUUUUGCUGUUUAUAUACCUCAGCUUAUUCAAGAAUUAAGAAAAGCAUUUAAGAUGUCAUCAUAAAUAUGCCAGUAUUAUAUCAUGUUAUUUUGUAAUAAAUAUUUGGUAUUCCUUGUGCUCACUUAUUUACAGGCCUACCACACACAUUGGUAUCGGCACACCUCAACCGACUUUUGCUUACUGUGGUAAUGUACUUACUUGCUAAUUCAUACUAUUACUGAAAUGGCCUCGAACACAAAUUGGAAGGCUGGGCCUGUAGUUAGGGGGGGGCUAUGUACCUUUAAAAAUGACUCCCCCCUCUUACCUAAAAUGUUUUGCUUUUUUAUGAAUGGGGAGCUACUGAUUGGCUGAGAGUGCCAGCUGAGCGCUCUAGCCAAUCAGUGACACACCUACCCAACGGCACUCUGUGCUUCCUGACACACAGUAAAUAAGACACAUUAACACGGAAGAUUUUAUUACCUGGGGAGGUGGAAGGUCCAAAGUUUCCCUGCCAGGCCCAGGUUCUAAAGCCUUAUGAUGUGGUGUGCAGAAUAAAGUGGAGGGAUCACUUCACUUGUCCUUCUUGCUCAAAUGUCCUUUUCAUCUUCUUCAUUUGACACAGUCUUCUUAUUUUUCUGACACUGUCUUCUCUCCCUCUUGGCUUCUUUUGCGCCUUUCUGAUCCCUUUCUACUCCUUGCAGACCCAUUCUGCUCCUUCGCCUACUUUACCUUUGUGCUCAUUCUGCCCCUUUCUGCUCCGUGCUGUCCCUUCCUGCUCAUUUGUUCCUUCUCCUUCCUGCCCUUUCUGCUCCUUGUUGUUUCUUUCUGCUCCUUCUUCUACUUUACCUUUGUGCUCCUUCUGAUUCUUUCUGCUCCUUUACCUUUGUGCUCCUUCUGUCCCUUCCUGCCUCUUUCAGAACCUUCUUGCUGCUUGCUGACCCUUCCUGAUCCUUGCUGCCCCUUCCUGUUCAUUUCUAUUCCUUUCUGCUGCUUCUCCUACUUUACCUUUGUGCCCAUUCUGCCCCUUUCUGCUCCGUGCUGUCCCUUUCUGCUCUGUGCUGCCCUUUUCAGCUCCUUCUUGCCCAUUUCUACUCCAUUCUGCCUUUUCCAGCUCCUUGCUGGCCCUUUCUGCUCCUUCUUCUACUUUACCUUUGUGCUCCUUCUGAUUCUUUCUGCUCCUUUACCUGUGUGCUCCUUUUGCCCCUUGCUCCUUGCUGCCCCUUCCUGCUCAGUUCUGUUCCUUUCUGCUCCUUCUCCUGCUUUACCUUUGUGCUCCUUUUGUCCCUUGCUGCCCGUUUCUGCUCUUUGCCUUUUCCAGCUCCUUGCUGCCCCUUUGUGCUCCUUCUCCUACUUUACAUUUGUGCUCCUUCUGAUUCUUUCUGCUCCUUUAACUUUGUGCUCCUUCUGUCCCUUCCUGACUCUUUCUACUUCUUGCAGACCCUUCCCUCUCCUCCUUUCCUUCUCCUUGUAGACCCUUUCUGCUCCUUGCAGACCCUUUCUGCUCAUUUCUGUCCCUUCCUGACUCUUUCUGCUUCUUGCAGACCCUUCAUUCUUCUUGCAGACCCUUCCUUCUCCUCCCUUUCUGCUCCUUGCCGACCCUUUCUGCUCAGUUCUGUUCCUUUCUGCUCAUUCUCUUACUUUACCUUCAUGCUCCUUGCUGCCCCUUUCUGCUCUUUGCUGCCCUUUCCAGCUCCUUGCUACCCCCUCUGUGCUCCUUCUCCUACUUUACAUUUGUGCUCCUUCUGAUUCUUUCUGCUCCUUUACCUUUGUGCUCCUUCUGUCCCUUCCUGACUCUUCCUUCUUCUUGCAGACCCUUCCUUCUUCUUGCAGACCCUUUCUGCUCCUUCUCCUACUUUACCUUUCUGCUCCUUCCAGCUCAUUGCUGACCCUUUCUGCUCCUUGAUGUCCCUUCCUGCUAUUUUCUGUUUAUUCUCCUUUCUGAUCCUUCUCCUACUUUACCUGCUCCUUGCUAAUCCUUCCUGUAUCCUUCCCCAUCCUUCACUUACCUGACCUGUAGGCUAUCUUCAGUCUUGGGGUUGCUGGCUGCUCUCUGUGGUUUGUCAGGAGAGAGAAGCAGGGAUAAGAUGUAGCUUCCUAUCCCUGCCUCUCUCCUCCCACACAGCGCCACUUACUGGCCGGUGCCGGUAUUGCAAUGUAUUAUCAAUCUCAAAAGAAAAACACAGACACAAACUGAAAAAUCCAGGGGGGGAACAAGUGCCCCCCUGCACCCCCAGGAUGCCCAUGUACUCAGCUGAUGUAGCUGAACACAAUAUGGAGUUCUGUGCAGGAAUAGCACACACCAGCUUUACAAAAUACACAUUACAAAAGCCUUGUUAUAUGUGUAUAUGCCAAAAUAGAGUAAAAACACAAUUUUACUCCAAUAUUUAGCAGAGAUUGGUGAUGAAAUUGCUACGUAAAAAGUAUCAAAAUAACUUUAGGUAAAUAGCCUGUGAUUUCUACGUUAUAUAAAUAUAUACUUUUCUGUGGCAAUUUUGUUUUCUGUGAUUGCUACUAAAUCUACAAGACAGACAUACCAACUUCUAAAAUAGUUUCACAUUGAAAUUUUAUUUUAGUCCUUGUAACUUUCAAAAUAAGUUGAAAUCCUAUACAUAUUAUGUAGUCUAUAAAUCAAGACACAUAAAUUAAGUGUUCUUGCAUAGCAAGACCACUUAAUGUUAUCUCACAUAUAUAUUAAGUGUUCUUGCAUAGCAAGACCACUUAUUGUUAUCUCACAUAUAUAUUCUUUUAUUAAGUGUUCUUGCAAGAACACUUAUUGUUAUCUCACAUAUAUAUUAUUCUUAUUAUAGCCAAAUUUGCCACCCUAACUCCUCCCACAGUUUUUACACUACAUAGACCAAAAUUUACCAAAACGUGCAGAUUGUUCCCGAUCGGAUUGCUAUUACUUUGUGGAACGUUUCGCCGAAUGGUUCACGGAAUAUCGUCGUUCUUGUGGCGCAAUUUGUCCCAUAGGAAUGAAUGGCAAAGCUAGAGUGGGAGCUGGCAAAAGCUGAAAAAUCAGGACAUGAUUUCUAAACUGCCACCACUCCCUCAUUUUCAGGCCCACCUACACAAAUCUUAUAUCAAAACGUUCAGCUAUCCCUGCUGCCACUAAACAUGUCAACGGCUAAGCCGUAGUCCUGAUAGUUUUCACAAUAUGACCAUUUGUUUGCAACCAACGCCGUCCAUUGACAUUCAUUGAAACUUCACUCUGCAAAGCUCAAAUUUGAAGUGCAAUUUCUAAACUGCGACUGUGCCUUCAAUUUUAAUACUUCAGAGACAUACUAUGCAUCAAAAUGUAGGUCUUGGUCUUGUGAUUCUCACAAUAUAAAGCUCUUCACUGUAGGAGUUAUAGUUUUUAAGAUACGACUGUUUGAAGAUGGCAACCACCAAAAUACUCUGACCUGUGUCAAGCUGCAGCAGCAAGUGAUGUCAUAGACAGGGCCUUUUGAACACCUGCUAAUAUUUUUAUAAAUGUAUGGUUUAAUGUAACUGUGCAACAACGUUACCGUGCUUAUUCAGGGCGGGUGGCCGGGCCGAGGUCGAUCGCGCCAGAAUUCCCUUAACGGCGGGUAGCCGGACCUGCGUCGUCACGCGGUAAAAUUAACCCCGGAUCGCCGCUAUUGCGGCGAUCGCGGGGUUAAUGGUGCUCCCGGUAUGCCUCCGCAUUGGAGGCAUACCGGGAGCACCCGGUCAAGCUGCCCAGCACAUGUGCUCGCUCUGACCACAAGUCUGAGCGAGCACAUGUGCUCAGUAUACUCACCUACCGGCUCCCUGCACUUCCGGGUUCUGUGUGAAGUGCAGGGAGCCGGAUCAGUGCUGAUCCUGCCCCCUGCUGUUAAAAAAAAUAAAGUUAAUUUAAAGUGUCCCCCCCUUACCCAUUUUAAUAAAAAAAUUAACCCCUUCCCUGCCAAUUGAUCACUGACUACAGUGAUCAAUUGGCAGGGAUUACAUUUUACUAUGAUCUGAUUUUUUUUUUUAACCCCUGAGGGUUAAUUCUUUUUUUUUUUUAACCCUCAGGGGUUAAAUUAAUUAAAUUAAUUAAUUAUUUUUUUUUUUAAUUAUAUAUUUAGAUAGCUGGGGUGGGUGGAAGUUAGUGGGGAAUUGGGGGAUUUGGCGUUAGGCUAACUAGGGGUUAACGUUAAAAAAAGUUUUAAAAGAAACUUUAAAAAGUUAAAAAUUAAGCUUAAAAAAUGUUUUAAUAACAUUUAAGUAAAAAAAACAAAAAACACACUUUACCUAGUCCAAAUAAAAAUUAACCCCUUCCCUGCCAGUCGAUCACUGCCUACAGCGAUCAAAUAGAGAUCACAGUAUUAUACUGUGAUCUAAUUUUUUUUAACCCCUGAGGAUUAACUUUUAUUUAUUUUUUUUAACCCUCAGGGGUUCAAUUUAUUUAAUUAAUUAAUUUAAAUAUUUUAUAACUAUAUAUUUUGCUAGCUGGGGUGGGUGGGAGUUAUGGGAAAAUGGGGAAUUUACUGUUACUGCUGCAUACUGCUAGUUAGGGGUUAACGGUAAAAAAAAAAGCUUAGAAAAAUGUUAAAUCUGUAAAAAAGUUUUAAGAAAGUUUAGGAAAGUUUAAAAAAAAUUUAUAAGCAAAGCAAAAGUUGAAAAACUAGUUUUUAAAAGUAAAAAAGUUAUAAAAAGUAAAAAAAAUACAUUUUAAAAACGCUCAUUACCACUACACCUGGAGCAAACUAGAGAAAAAAUUAUCCCACGCCAAGGUUCAAAAUAUGCCUUUUGAAUUACCCCAGGGUGUAUUCUUUAAUAAAUAGUAUGUGUUUGUGGGGAAGUUUCAAUAACCAACCGUCUAAACUACUCCAAAUUGGAACAUGGACACAGCGUAAAACUUCAAAGUUAGAAAAAAACUGAAUGGCUGCGUCUCAAAUGCGCCCCUUCAACAUCCACAUAUACAUGGCAAAAGGUACAUACGGGGGUAUUGCUGUACUCAGCCGACAUAGCUGAGCAACAUAUGAAGUAUUAUACAGUCAUAGCACACAUAAGGUUUGCAAAAUAUGCUGCGCAAACUCACUUUGUAUGUCAAAAAGGCAGAAAAAUGCUUAUUACCACUACACUUGGUACAAGCUAGCGGAAAAAUUAUCCCACGCUAAGGUUCAAAAUAUGCCUUUUGAAAUACCCUGGGAUGUCUUCUUUAAGAAAUGGUAUGGCUUUAUGGGGAAUUUGGAUUAUAUAGCCUGGUAAAAUACUCUAAAAUGGGACAUAGGCACAGCAUAAAAAUUCAAAGUUUGAAAAAAACUGGAAUGGCUGUGUCCCAAAUGUGCCCCUCCGAUGUCCACACAUACCUGGCAAAGGUACAUACGGGGGUAUUGCUGUACUCAGCCGACAUAGCUGAGCAACAUAUGAAGUAUUAUACAGUCAUAGCACACAUAAGGUUUGCAAAAUAUGCUGCGCAAACUCACUUUGUAUGUCAAAAAGGCAGAAAAAAUGCUUAUUACCACUACACUUGGUACAAGCUAGCGGAAAAAUGAUCCCACGCUAAGGUUCAAAAUAUGCCUUUUGAAAUACCCUGGGAUGUCUUCUUUAAGAAAUGGUAUGGCUUUAUGGGGAAUUUGGAUUAUAUAGCCUGGUAAAAUACUCUAAAAUGGGACAUAGGCACAGCAUAAAAAUUCAAAGUUUGAAAAAAACUGGAAUGGCUGUGUCCCAAAUGUGCCCCUCCGAUGUCCACACAUACCUGGCAAAGGUACAUACGGGGGUAUUGCUGUACUCAGCCGACAUAGCUGAGCAACAUAUGAAGUAUUAUACAGUCAUAGUACACAUAAGGUUUGCAAAAUAUGCUGCGCAAACUCACUUUGUAUGUCAAAAAGGCAGAAAAAAUGCUUAUUACCACUACACUUGGUACAAGCUAGCGGAAAAAUGAUCCCACGCUAAGGUUCAAAAUAUGCCUUUUGAAAUACCCUGGGAUGUCUUCUUUAAGAAAUGGUAUGGCUUUAUGGGGAAUUUGGAUUAUAUAGCCUGGUAAAAUACUCUAAAAUGGGACAUAGGCACAGCAUAAAAAUUCAAAGUUUGAAAAAAAACUGGAAUGGCUGUGUCCCAAAUGUGCCCCUCCGAUGUCCACACAUACCUGGCAAAGGUACAUACGGGGUAUUGCUGUACUCAGCCGACAUAGCUGAGCAACAUAUGAAGUAUUAUACAGUCGUAGCACACAUAAGGUUUGCAAAAUAUACUGUGCAAACUCACUUUGUAUGUCAAAAAGGCAGAAAAAAAGCUUAUUACCACUACAUCUGGUACAAGCUAGCGGAAAAAUGAUCCCACGCUAAGGUUCAAACUAUACCUUUUGAAACACCCUGGGGUAUCUACUUUAAGAAAUGGUAGGCCUUUGUGGGGUAGUUUGAAUUUAAAACCUGCGAAGAUGCUUGGAAAUUGCACAAAAUUCAAAGUUUGGUAAAAACGGAUAUGGCUUGGUCUGCUAUAUGGCACUGUAGCUUCACGAAAUAGUGCCAAAGACAUUCAUAUGGGGUGUCAUUUUACUCAGAAGACUUAGCUGAGCAUAAUUUGGGGGGUUUGAACUUAGUGGCACAUAUGAAAUAUACAAAACGCCCAGCAAAAAUGCAAUCCGUAUGUAAAAAAUGCACAAAAUUAUUUUUUACCACAUACUUUGGCAUAUAUUGGUGAAAAAAUGGGGGCAUGUUAAGGCACAAUAUGCACCUUAUAAGAUACCCUGGAGUGUCUACUUUUACAAAUGGUAGGCCUUUGUGGGGGUUUUUGAACAGUCAAACUGUUAUAAUACCCCAAAUGGAAGCUAAGGCUCAUUAAAUCCAUCUCUCAAAAUUCUACUGUGAAUACUGUAAAGGACAGGUCUCCUAUAUGGCACUGUAGCUUCACGAAAUAGUGCCAAAGACAUUCAUAUGGGGUGUCAUUUUACUCAGAAGACUUAGCUGAGCAUAAUUUGGGGGGUUUGAACUUAGUGGCACAUAUGAAAUAUACAAAACGCCCAGCAAAAAUGCAAUCCGUAUGUAAAAAAUGCACAAAAUUAUUUUUACCACAUACUUUGGCAUAUAUUGGUGAAAAAAUGGGGGCAUGUUAAGGCACAAUAUGCACCUUAUAAGAUACCCUGGAGUGUCUACUUUUACAAAUGGUAGGCCUUUGUGGGGUUUUUUUUAACAGUCAAACUGUUAUAAUACCCCAAAUGGAAGCUAAGGCUCAUUAAAUCCAUCUCUCAAAAUUCUACUGUGAAUACUGUAAAGGACAGGUCUCCUAUAUGGCACUGUAGUUUCACGAAAUAGUGCCAAAGACAUUCAUAUGGGGUGUCAUUUUACUCAGAAGACUUAGCUGAGCAUAAUUUGGGGGUUUUGAACUUAGUGGCACAUAUGAAAUAUACAAAACGCCCAGCAAAAAUGCAAUCCGUAUGUAAAAAAAUGCACAAAAUAAUUUUUUACCACAUACUUUGGCAUAUAUUGGUGAAAAAAUGGGGGCAUGUUAAGGCACAAUAUGCACCUUAUAAGAUACCCUGGAGUGUCUACUUUUACAAAUGGUAGGCCUUUGUGGGGGUUUUUUGAACAGUCAAGCUGUUAUAAUACCCCAAAUGGAAGCUAAGGCUCAUUAAAUUCAUCUCUCAAAAUUCUACUGUGAAUACUGAAAAGGACAGGUAUCCUGUAUGGCACUGUAACUUCACGAAAUAGUGCAAAAGACAUACAAUGGGGUGUCAUUUUACUCAGCAGAUGUAACUGAACACAAAAUAAAACUUUGUACAGGAAUAGCACACACCAACUUUACAAAAUAUACACGAGAAUUUCUCUGUUAUAAGUUUGUGUGCCAAAAACCAAAAAGAACACAAUUUUACUCCAAUAUUUAGCAGAGGUUGGCAGUGAAAUGGCUACGUAAAAAGUGUCAAAACAACCUUAGGUAAAUAGCCCGUGAUGUCUACUUUAUAUAAAUAUAUACUUUUGUGUGGCAAUUUUGUUUUCUUUUAUGGCUAUUAAGCUUACAAGACAAACAUACCAAAUUCUAAAAUCGCUCCACAUUAAAAGUUUAUUUUGCUCCUUGUGCUUUGUGACCUGUAACUACCAAAAAAAACUUAAAAUCCCAGACACAUUAUAUAUUCUGUAAAUCAGAACAAAUAAAUAAAUUUAUUUUUAAUUACUUUCCUUAACCUGCACUAAAUAUGCACACAUUAUUAUUGCAAAAACUGUAAAAAAAAACAAUAUUUUUCAUUUUUUUUGCAUUUUUCUGUAUUUUUUUUAUAAUAAGUAAGCAUUUAUAUAUAUAUAUAUAUGUUAUAUCAAAUUAAAGCCCUUUCUGUCCUUUAAAAACAGUAUAUAAUAUGUGUCGGUGCAAUAAAUGAGAGAGAUGCAAAUUGCAGUUGAACGCAAACAGCAAGAAAAUGCAAAAAAUUGCUUGUGUCAUUAAGCGUAAGUCAAGCUUCUGAAGCUGUGUCCUUAAGGGGUUAANNNNNNNNNNNNNNNNNNNNNNNNNNNNNNNNNNNNNNNNNNNNNNNNNNNNNNNNNNNNNNNNNNNNNNNNNNNNNNNNNNNNNNNNNNNNNNNNNNNNCUUUGAAAAGGCCUCUCUUUUAUCCUAUGUAAUACCAGAAGUAUAAUUUCAAAGAUGAAUGAAUUAAAAGUGCGGUGUCUCAAGUAGAAGCCCAAUAUAUUUUUUUCUAACCUGUUGGAGCCCCAAAAUGCUAAUCAUUGCUACAGCCACCCAUCAUUAUUAAUGCUAUAGACAGGAUUGUGCAAAGGCAGAGCAGGAUUCACCAUAACGUGACAUUACGCAGCAGUCCAGGACGUAUGGGAUUGAUAGCGGCCCCAGCACCAUAAAUGUGCUUGGUCCCAUUCACAAUCCCUGUGUAGAAUUAACUGAUAACCUACCUAGCAGCCUGCAGGAUCUUAAACCUUCUCUGAAGAGAGCUGAAGGUCAUGCAAUAUAUGUAGAUGAAUCAAUACCCAUUUCUAUUUUAAAUAACUCCUGCUCCCAUUCCACCGUCACCUCUGUCGUCAUCAUUAUCAAACUACCUUACCUAAAACCAGUUGUUAUAUAAUACAAAUAGUGAAUCGAGUGCUAAAUCAGUUCCGUAGGUGUGUAGCCACAACAAUCCUGCCAAGGGUCUCAUGUGAUAAUUUGGUGGAGAAUCCUUCUAUAUAUAGACCAAUAGGUGUGUAGAAAGCAACUUAUAUUGAAUGGAGUUUUACACCAGCUCAGAAAUAAUGAGCCUGGGUGGAACAAUCCCCAUCUGAGGAUAUAUGUAAUAUCUUCCACUAUGGUACGUGGAAUCUCCCUCUGACAAAUAAUAAUUUGUUCAGUCUAUCGUCAAAUCCUGUCGUUUCCAUCUCAAAAACAUUGCGCGCAUCCGCCCCUACUUAACGCCAGAUGCGAUUAAGGUGAUGGUCCAUUCCACUGUCCUUUCUCGCCUUGACUACUGUAAUCCGCUUCUCAGUGGUCUUACGUGCUCCCAACUUGCACCAUUACAGUCCAUAAUGAAUACUGGGGCGAGGCUCAUCUUCCUGCCUGCCCGCACCUCCCACGCCUCACCCUUCUGUCAGUCCCUACAUUGGCUUCCUAUAAGAUAUAGGGUUCAAUUUAAAAUUCUGGUUCUUGCUUUCAAAUCUCUACAUAAUGCUGCUCCCACCUAUCUAUCCUCCCUUAUACACAAGUAUGUCCCAUCUAGGCACUUACGAUCUGCUGAAGACUUACGUCUAUCUUCUGUCUGUACUCCCAUCUCUGAUGCUCGCCUUCAAGAUUUCUCAAGGGCUGCACCGUUCCUGUGGAACUCGCUUCCCUCCUCCGUUAGAUGCUCACCCAGUCUCUAUUCCUUCAAAAAAAUCUUUCAAAAAAACAACUUCUUCAUAAAAGCAUAUCAAUUAAACUGUUAAUAGCUCCUGACUAGUGAUGUACCGAACGGUUCGCUGGCGAACGGUUCCCGCGAACAUAGCAUGUUCGCGUUCGCCACGGCGGGCGAACAUAUGCGCGGUUCGACCCAACCCCUAUUCGUCAUCAUUGAAUAAACUUUGACCCUGUACCUCACAGUCAGCAGACACAUUCCAGCCAAUUAGCAGCACACCCUCCCUAGCAGACCCUCCCACCUCCUGGAAGGCAUCCAUUUUAGAUUCAUUCUCAAGCUGCAUGCUUAGUAAGAGGAGGGAAAGUGUAACUGCUGUUCAUAAGAUAGGGAAAAGCAUAGCUAGGUUAGGGAUAAGGGUAUGCUUUUUUUUUAAUUUUUUUUUUCUAUGUAAUGUAAUUGCACUUAGUUGUCUGCCACUGCUGCCAGCUUCUGUGUCAGGCUCACAGUGCAUACUGUGCCCAUUCCCCAGUCAGUGCCACCACUUACAUCUGGUGUCACAAUAGCUUGGAUUUAAAAACAAAAAACUUUUUUCACUGUUAUAGAUUGAAUAGCAGUCAGUGUCCUUAAAGCGGGUGUGUCAGACUCACAGUGGAUACUGUGCCCAGUGCCACCACUCACUCACUGGUGUCACAAUAGCUUGCAUUUAAAAACAAAAAACUUUUUUCACUGUUAUAGAUUGAAUAGCAGUCAGUGUCCUUAAAGCGGGUGUGUUACGCUAACAGUGGAUACGGUGACCAGUGCCACCACUUAUAUCUGGUGACACAAUGGCUUGGAUUUAAAAAAAAAACACUUUUUUCACUGUUAUAGAUUGAAUAGCAGUCAGUGUCCUUAAAGCGGGUGUGUUACGCUAACAGUGGAUACGGUGACCAGUGCCACCACUUAUAUCUAGUGUCACAAUAGCUUGGAUUUAAAAACAAAAAACUAUAUUCACUGUUAUAGAUUGAAUAGCAGUUAGUUAUGUUCAAGCAGGUGUGUUACGCUAACAGUGGAUACGGUGACCAGUGCCACCACUUAGAUCUGGUGUCACAAUAGCUUGGAUUUAAAAACAAAAAACUUUUUUCACUGUUAUAGAUUGAAUAGCAGCUCGCGUCCUGAAGCCGGUGUGUUACGCUAACAGUGGAUACGGUGACCAGUGCCACCACUUAUGGUGUCACAAUAGCUUGAUUUAAAAAACAAAAACUUUUUCACUGUUAUAGAUUGAAUAGCAGUCAGUGUCCUAAAGUGGGUGUGUUACGCUAUCAGUGGAUACGGUGACCAGUGCCACCAAUUAGAUCUGGUGACACAAAGCUUGGAUUUAAAAAAACAAAACACUUUUUUCACUGUUAUAGAUUGAAUAGCAGUCUGUGUCCUUAAAGCGGGUGUGUUACGCUAACAGUGGAUACGCUGACAAGUGCCACUAAUUAGAUCUGGUGUCACAAUAGUUUGGAUUUAAAAACAAAAAACUUUUUUUACUGUUAUAGAUUGAAUAGCAGUCAUUGUCCUUAAAGCGGGUGUGUUACGCUAACAGUGGAUACGCUGACAAGUGCCACUAAUUAGAUCUGGUGUCACAAUAGUUUGGAUUUAAAAAAAAAAUAAUCUUUUUUCACUGUUAUAGAUUGAUAGCAGUCAGUGUCCUUAAAGCGGGUGUGUUACGCUAACAGUGGAUACGCUGACAAGUGCCACUAAUUAGAUCUGGUGUCACAAUGGCUUGGUUUUAAAAACAAAAAACUUUUUUUACUGUUAUAGAUUGAAUAGCAGUCAGUGUCCUUAAAGCGGGUGUGUUACGCUAACAGUGGAUACGGUGACCAGUGCCACCACUUAGAUCUGGUGACAAUAGCUUGGAUUUAAAAACAAAAAACUUUUUUCACUCUUAUAGAUUGAAUAGCAGUUAGUUAUCUUCAAGCAGGUGUGUUACGCUAACAGUGGAUACGGUGACCAAUGCCAACACUUAGAUCUGGUGUCACAAUAGCUUGGAUUUAAAAACAAAAAACUUUUUUCACUGUUAUAGAUUGAAUAGCAGUUAGUGUCCUUAAAGCGGGUGUGUUACGCUAACAGUGGAUACGCUUACCAGUGCCACCAAUUAGAUCUGGUGACACCAAGCUUGGAUUUAAAAAAACAAAACACUUUUUUCACUGUUAUAGAUUGAAUAGCAGUCAGUGUCCUUAAAGCGGGUGUGUUACGCUAACAGUGGAUACGCUGACCAGUGCCACUAAUUAGAUCUGGUGUCACAAUAGCUUGGAUUAAAAAAAAAAAUAAUCUUUUUUCACUGUUAUAGAUUGAAUAGCAAUCAGUGUCCUUAAAGUGGGUGUGUCAGCCCUACAGCGUGUACUCUGCCAGUUUACAGUGCCACUCAUAUCAUACCACCAGAAUGCCGUCAUUGCAGAGCUCUGCAGUGUGGCAUUUUUUUUGUGUGUCUGCCUCUGACAACAGCGAUGCCAUUUGCAACCUGUGCCAAAAGAAACUGAGUCGUGGAAGUCCAACACCCACCUAGGUACAACUGCUUUGCGUAGGCACAUGAUCUCACAUCACAAACGCCUAUGGGAUCAACACAUGAGUACAAGCAGCUCGCCUACUCUAAGCCGCCAGCCUCCUCCUGGUCCAGCAUCUUCAGCCACGUCAACCACUGCUGUCCUCCUUGUCCCUUCUCAACCAUCCGCCACUCCGCCUCCCGCCUUGAGCAGUUCACGCUCAUCUUCCAUAACCUCCUCGGCUGAGUCCUCUUCUGAUGCUGCGUCUUGCUCUACAUCAACGGAUAGGGGACGUAACAGUGAUUAAACUGAUAACAAUAGUACUAAACACACCACUCCUAUCUGGUGGCACAUUAGAUUGCACGCGCAGUGCCCCAAAUUUGUUGUGAUCUGUGAGUAAGGUAAACGGUUGUCCAUACAAGUGGGUUGCAGCUUUUUGAGGGCCCACACCACCGCUAUGCACUCCUUUUCAAUGGCAGUGAAUAUACUUCGCUGUGCAAAAGUUUACGGCUUAGAUAAGCUCCGGGUUGCUAGCCACCAUCUGCUCCGACUUGGCUCAAUACUGCUCCCAAUCCAAGCAUAGAAGCGCCUGUAUGGACGAGAAAGUGUUUAGUUGGAUCAGGAGAAGAAAGUACAGGUGAUUUAAUGAGCGCCGUCUUGAGCUGUUGGAAGGCCUGUUCACAUUCUGGGGCCCAUACUACUAUCUUGGGGAGGAUUUUACACGUUCCUAUAUGGCACUUACUGGGCUUUAGGGUCAGUCCGGACUCCCUAAUCCGGUCUAUUACGGCUCCUAUGUGGGUCAGGUGUUCGGGCCAGGAGCAGCUAAAAUGUCUAUACCAUCCAAGUAGGUGUGUAUCAGUGUGUAUCAGGGAUCCUUAGGACAGGUGUCAAUCCAUAUCUGCCAAGUGACCCUAUGUAGGGGGAACAGUCUCUAUUCUGCUCUGUGUCAGUGUGUAUCAUGGUCUCUGAGGACAGGUGUCAAUCCAUACCUGCCAAGUGACAAUAUGUAGGGGUAACAGUCUCUAUUCUGCUCUGUGUCAGUGUGUAUCAUGGUCUCUGAGGACAGGUGUCAAUCCAUAUCUGCCAAGUGACCCUAUGUAGGGGAACCAGUCCCUAUUCUGCUCUGUGUCAGUGUGUAUCAGGGAACCUUAGGACAGGUGUCAAUCCAUAUCUGCCAAGUGACCCGAUGUAGGGGAACAGUCCCUAUUCUGCUCUGUGUCAGUGUGUAUCAGGGAUCCUUAGGACAGGUGUCAAUCCAUAUCUGCUAAGUGACCCUAUGUAGGGGGACCAGUCUCUAUUCUGCUCUGUGUCCGUGUGCAUCAGGGGCUCUGAGGACAGGUGUCAAUCCAUAUGUCAAGGUGUCAAUAUGUCAUAUGUCAGGUGUCAAUCCAUAUUGAUUGUGAUUUAGGAAUGUUAGGUGAUUUCUGCCCUUUAUGGAUUAAACCAGACUCUGUAUCAACUGUGUAAUUUUCCAUGGGAGUUUUGCCAUGGAUCCCCCUCCGGCAUGCCACUGUCCAGGUGUUAGUCCCCUUGAAACAACUUUUCCAUCCCUAUUGUGGCCAGAAAGAGUCCCUGUGUGUUUUAAAAUUCGCAUGCCCAUUGAAGUCAAUGGCGGUUCGGGCGGUUCGCAAACAUUUGCGGAAGUUCGCGUUCGACGUUCGCGAACCGAAAAUUUCGGGUUCGCGACAUCACUAAUUGAGAGGUGUCUGCGGUUAACCACAACAUUCUAGUUGGGAUCAAGAGGUUAACCAGCAGCACACUUCUCUUCUGGGUGGCCUUCUGUUCGGUAAGUUCAUUCGGUAGAAAAGUCAAAUAAACGAACAGGGGCAUACGGACAGGUAAUUCCGCGAAAAAUGGCAAAACAGAUGAACCAGCAAUCUUAGUCUAUACAGAUGGAUCUGUCACAACUAGCAUAGUUCACGGUCUAUCUAUUUUACUUACAUGUCGACCGUGAUACCAUACCACAAAUAACAUUUUCUGCUAGCCCUUGUCUAUAGCGAUUUCACAAUGGUUUUUGGUUAAUAGCUACCUUAAGAAUACCUAUGGUGGGAGGUGCUGGAGAACUACAGUACAGGGAGAGUUUUUAGCAUUAAGGGGUGCCCACGAAGGCACAGUAGGGAAAUGUAUAUCUAGAUAGAGGAACACACUCCCCCCUUUCUCCCUGACUUACCUUCAAGCAAGCCGAUACUGAUAUUAUUACUCUGUUGUAUACAUUGUUGCAUCACAAAAUGCAACACUUACCUUCUCAGUCUGUUAGCAAUUUACCACUUAUAGUUACAUUUUAAUGUGAAUAUCUGUGAGCUUAUUUAGAUCUGAUAGAGGUGAGGUCACUUCUACAUGCUUUUUACUUAUUGUGUGUUUAGUAGUGGACAGUCUUAUCUUCUUGAAGGUGGUAACUUGGCAAUCAUGCUAUCACCGUUUAGUAAACUUUCCCCAUUAGACAACUGAUUGUUUGCUGUCUCUGUUUCUUGUUUUGUUCUGUAUCUUUUUCUUGUUUGAGUAUUUGUAUUACACAUUGAGUCCAAAAGUGGUUGGACUUUUUACCUAGUGUUUAGUAAAAGUUAAGUUUUUAUUACUGUUGCCUAUCUAGCUAUAUGUAGUAUUCCACAUUAAUACUCUUUAGCAAUAUUUCAUCUUCCUACUCUCUCUUUUUGUUGUUUUGUUAACUUUAUAUAGGGGUUACAUCCCAGUUAGGAGGAGCUGUAGAUAUUGGCUCUCCCCUUCUUUUUCUUUCUCUUUUUAGGGUUAACAGAUAAGACCGGUUAACCGGUAAGGUUAACAGAUAAGGUUUCAUAGAAAAUAGGCACCAUUCUUGCAGAGGGUCUUAAAUAUCAUGUGUGAAGAUCUCAGAGUAAGGGGGGAGAGAGAAAUACAAGCAAACAGUGCAGAAAAUGGUGCUAGAAGGGGAGAGUAAAAUCAAUAGCUUACACUUAACUUAUGACCCUCAGGUAGGGUCCUACCUGAGGUUCCUCAGAGUGCAACAGCUCCAUCCUCUGGGAUUGCAUUAGGGUGGUUACUAGUAGUGUCUCUUCUGUGUUCGGUGAUGCGAACUGUGAUGUUAGGCAGCCCAAGUCGUUCCCUAAAAGUACUUUGGCUGGUAAGUGUUGCAUAAUCCUGACAUCCAGGUACUUGACCCCCGAAUCCCAGUUGAGAUGGACUCGGGCGGUCGAUAGUUUGUGGAUAGCGUCUCAAGGUUCUACUUAGGGGGUUAAUAUUGUGUGGCUAUACCAAGGUCAAAGUUGUGCCGGUAUUCCUUAGUCCUCAUGCUUCUUGUCUGUGAUGUUCCUGGUUGUCACUAGCCACUUGUAUGUGGUUUACCUCAUGUACUACUGUCUAUAGCUCCACGGGGAAACUUGGCAUAGCUCAGGGCUCCUCUUGGUAGCAAUGAGCGGCUGCCCAAAGCGGGUUGAGAUUGGGUACGGUCACAUACUCCUUGAUUUCGAAGUGGGUAAGUGUUCUUAAAGUGACCCAGCUGAUUGCACCCAUGGAAUAAUGGUCCGGUCCUCUGGAAAAGUGCAGGUGUGGGUGCGGAAGGAGUUGGUCGAUUUGGUGGUGGGGCUGGCCUGUCCACUUUUACCAGUUGUCUGUGAUGUUCCUGGUUGUCACCAGACGCUUGUAUGGGGUUUACCUCAUGUAGUCCUCUGUCCAUUGCUCCUCGGGGCAACUUGACUUAGCUUGGGGCUCCUCUUGGUAGCAAUGAGCGGCUGCUCAGAGCGGGUUGAGAUUGGGUAUGGUCCCAUAUUCCUCAAUUCUGAAGUGGGCAAGUGUUUAUAAAGUGUCCCAGCUGAUUGAACCCAUGGAAUAAUGGUCCGGUCCACCGGAACGGUGCCGGUGCUGGUGUGGGUGGAGUUGGUGGUGGGGCUGGCUGUGCAUGAUAGGUGGGCCGAAUAGGUGGAUGUCCUCUGAUGGGUUUGGUUCUUUGGCCAUCCUGGAAUUUGUCAGCCAGACAAGCAGCUUCUUCUACGGUAAGAGGCUUUGAUCCCGUACCCAGUCUCGGACCUCCGGCGGUGUGUGUUCUAAAAAUUGCUCCAACAACAUCAUCAAUUGCAUUGCAUCAGCUAAGGUGGUUGCCUGACAUCCUGGUAUCAAUUUUGGGCUGUCCCGUGCAUCCAAAAUGCACAUUCGGAAAAAUCCGGAGUCCUUGUUGCCUUUUCGUAAUCCGCAGGAUUUCCUUCAGUAGGCUUCGGAUGUUACUCAUAAUGGUGAAUAUCCGAGUUGGGUACUGCCCGGUAUGCUUCGGCUGCUCUACCAGAAAACUUGCUGCUCAGAAUGGCUGCCCAGUUACUUUUUCGUCUUUCGUCUUAUUACUUGCCGAACAUCCUCAAGCUUCCAGUAGGUCUUUCAGGGUUGUUCGCUGAGAAGAAUCCCACCUCUGCCACCAGAUGUGAUGAACCAUAUGUACCCAGAGUGGUAUGUUCGUCUGAAGAUCUCCCAAACUCCUGCAAGGCUCCAGUGAAUAUAGCACUCUCUCUAUCUAGCCUAAACUGGUUUUAUUUAGGCCAAGUUGCCUGUUUAUAUACACAACCCCCAGCAUGGGAUCUCCAUUCAAUACAGUACAAACCCCUCCCAGGAAUCUCUGCGUCUGGGAGAUAAUUGAGGCAAAUUAUCUCUCAGUUACAGAGAACCAUACAUAAAAUACAAAAAGGUUAAAAUAAAAAAUAAUAGAGGCUACCAGGUGAAAGGGGACACCGGGACUCACUCAAACAUACCCUCCAAGUGACUACUGCCCGGCAUACACCCGAUACCCUGGCGAGGCCACCCAGCAUGGCGGGCGCCGGAGAGACGGCCGCUCUCCUGCUGCCAGGAACGGCGGGAAAUUUGCCACGAGCUCUCGUUUCCCCCCCUUUGGACCGGCGGGGGUUAUCCCGGGCCACCCCCACACAAACCCCCUGACAAGAGGAAACCUGGCAAACCGAACAGGCAAUAUGGGGGUUGCUGGCGAGGCCUACAAAAUGGCGGACGGCACACAUAAAUGCAGCCCUAAGCAAAGCCUGGAGGGACACAGAGCUCCGACUAAACAGCAUAUUCAACUCCUUCUGGGUGAAGCUGGAGAAGCUCUUAUGGCCCCCGGAAUCAAAGAACCUGGCUGAUGGCACACCACAAAGCCCACCACGGGACGCACAACAGGGAGACAUGACACACUCAGACUCCCACCCCAAGCCAAACAAGCAUCCGAGAAGAAACACCCCGGCAACAGAUGCCCAGAGCAAUGCUAACAGCAGACGCAACCUGACAAAGGAGAGGAACACCAACGAGAUCCCAACAACACAGCGCCAAAAACCACCUCACUUGCCAGCAGCGUCCCAGCAAGAAGGGCAAAGGCCAACACAAAAAAACAAGAAUAAGGCAAAACAGCAACAGCGGCAGCCGACGACCACACCAAAAAGUGUGACCCACAACUGGGACUAUACCUUACCUGCAAAGAGGGUCACUUCACCGUACAAAGACACUCUUCUCCCACAAUACUAAACCACAGGCACCGAAGCGUGCACCAGCACAAGAUCACAACGGCAACAUGCGGGACUUCCCCAUUAUGGGCAUAGGCUGAAUCAUCCACUACACAGCCCCACAAGAUCCAUACCUUAUUUGCUUCGGGUACUNNNNNNNNNNNNNNNNNNNNNNNNNNNNNNNNNNNNNNNNNNNNNNNNNNNNNNNNNNNNNNNNNNNNNNNNNNNNNNNNNNNNNNNNNNNNNNNNNNNNGAUCUACCUGACCAGGUUUGAGGGGAUUAAUGCAGACUUACUUUUCUUUUUGCUUUUUAUUCCUGUACUCAGCCUCGCGCACACUUACACCCACUGACCACCCAGAUGUUGAUCCCCAUAACAUACUCCACAAAGCCUACACCCCCUGGCCACAUACCAGAACGAUCAUACAAAGUCAUUCCUGUUUAAAUCAAACUUCGGUGGCUAUCCACUUGUUGCCUGAUUAGCUUUUGACACAGCAUGAUAAUCUCCUGUAUAGAAAGUAAAGCGAUGUUAUUUUAUGUUAUGAAAAUGCUUCAGCAAAGUAACUAUACUGUUUACAUCCCUACAAAAAUGUGCUAGAUCUACCUUGUAUCUCAAUGCUCAAUGUUCAUAAAGUGCUGGAGGAUUGCCUUUGGGGUACCUCAUGUGCAACUGUUAUAAGCGUAUGCACUACAAAAAUAAAGAAUAAAAAAAAAAAUAAGAUUUCGAGGAAGUUCCUGAACCCCUGAACUGAUCUGGGUGAUUUUUGGAUGUGUUGGUCAUCCAGAUCAGGGCUAUCAGGUAACUUUUGUGGGGUUUUGUGUGUUUUAAGAUAUUUUGGGGGGUUUGUAAAAAUGUAUGUUUUUUUCUUUUGGGAGAUAAUUGGAUUAGAUUAGUACAGUUCCUGAUCCAAUUAACUCCCAGGCACAGAGGAAGGAUUAUCUGAUUUUGUGUGGGAGUGUCUUGGACCUGAGAGCCAAUAUAAUUGUGCAUAUGGUUUUACUGUAGUCUACUCUCAGGUCCCCUUCCAUGGGGACUGUCAUAAAAGGCCAGUUGUGGUCUACCAUUAAACUGAGAUUAAUUUUACCCUUCAUGAAGUCUAGGCUCAUGUUUGGGGGAUUGGAGAGCUAUAUUCACAGUCUGGGGAUUGCUAUAAUCACUAUACUCCCUUGGAUCACAACACCUGCUCUUAUAAGAGCAGCCUGCUUCGUUCUCUGGACUAGGAGAGGUCUCCCCACUGGAAGUUGGAUCCUGGUCUUGGAUCCAGGGUGGGUGGAGGGCAGCAAGACCCCAACCAAGCUGCAGCGAUUUGUGGGGUUCGUGGUGGUUAUGGUGUUCCAGUGCAGUGCUUAUGGUGCUCGCAAGUACUAGGAAGCAGCGAUUGAUGGAGGUACCCGGUCGGGGUGCCAGGUGCUCCGCCACAUCUAGGGUUAGGGCUAGGGUUAGGAUUCCUGUCAUUAUUCCCUUCAUUUUCCCUCCCUCUCCUGUUUUGCCACUUUUCACAAAUCCGAAAAAAAAACCACUUCUGAAAUUCGGCACUUCGGCAAUUCGGUUCUGUUUGGCACUUCGGAAAUUCGGCACUUCGGAAAUUUGGCAAUUCAGACAUUUGGAAGCAUCUAAUUACAAUCAAUCAUCUUUUUUUCCUAUCUACUUUAGUUUUCUUUAAAACAUAAGACAAAGUAGGGACUACUACUAAUUUUCUCACAAUACUCACCCUUUCCUCCGUGAUCUUGCGAUGCCUCUUUCACUAUUCCAGAAUGUCUUGUCACUUAGACAGGAUGCCGGUGAAACUACCAAAUUUCACCCUUACAGAAUGAACAGUUUGUUCAUUCAUGUUAGGAUGACAUUCCGUACUUUUAGUCCGAUUUGAAAUUUCCAUCUGAUCCAUGCUGUGGCUACAUCUUGCAUCUGACCCCCACCCAUGAGCGGCGGGUGGGGGCCCUAAAUGACAAUACUGGGGACCCUUUUGUCCCCCCCGGGCCCAACCCAUGAGCGGCAGGUGGGGGCCCUAAAAAUAAUGGGUGUAAUUAUGUGUGUGAGGGGUGCUGUGGAGGCGCAUUUUGUUUUUUUGCUGAAAGUAAUGGCUUUCUUCUGGCCACUCUGCCAUAAAGCCCAACUCUAUGGAGCGUAUGGCUUAUUGUCGUCCUAUGUACAGAUAUUCCAGUCUCUGCUGUGGAAUUCUGCAGCUCCUCCAGGGCUACCUUAGGUCUCUGUGCUGCCUCUUUGAGUUUUGGUGGGCGGCCGUCUCUUGGCAGGUUUGCUGUUGUGCCAUGUUCUUUCCAUUUGGUUAUGAUAGAUUUGAUCAUUAAAGAUUUGGAUAUUUUUUUAUAACCCAGGGCUUGACAAAUUUGUUUGGAAUCUAGGAGCCAGCUAAACAAGUUAGGAGCCAGUAAUUUUCAAUGAGAAAAUGCAAUUCUUAAAGGGAUUCUAUAGUCACCAGAACCACUACAGUUUGAUGUAGUUGUUCUGGUAUCUAUAGCCUAUCCCUGCAAGCGUUUUAGUGUAAACGCUGCCUUUUCUGCAAAAAAGCAGAAUUUACAUUGCUGCUUAGCAACACCUCUAGUGACAGUCACUCAGACGGUCACUAGAGAGUCCUGGGUCACUGCUGCACCACAUGCAGCACCCAGGUUCAGUAUCUCCAAGCUUGCAUGGAGGUGCUGAAUGUUCCUCAUAGAGAUCUCUAUGAGGAGAUGUGGAUUGGUACAUUUGCUGCGCAUGCACAAAAUCCUCCCAAUGCUUUCUUAAGGGAAAGCUGUGGCUUAGCUGUGAUCAUAAAGAUCAUGGGGAAACUAACAUGGAGUGAGAAAAUGGGGAAAAAAGGUGAGUAAAAACUAUCGUAGGGGCAGGUACCUAAACGCGCACACACACUGACAGGCUCACAUACACACUUACGCUGACAACAGGCUUGCACACACAAACUCUUGACAGACACACACACUCCUGACAGGCUCAUAUACACUCUUAUGCUGACAACAGGCUUGCACGCACACACUCUGACAGACUUACACACACACACACACACACACACAUAAGCGUUCACACACACAUAAACACAUUCUGAGAGGCUUGCACACACAUACAUACAGACAUUGACAGGCUCACACACACACUGACAGGUUUACACACACAUACAUACAGACACACUUACAGGCUCACACACACAUACAGCGACCUGGCACCUGGGAUUUGUCGAGCCCUGUUAUAACCUAACCCUGACUUGUACUUCUCAACAAUAUUGUCCCUUACUUGUCUGGAGAGUUCCUUGGUCUUAAUGGCAGUGUUUGGUUAGUGGUGCCUCUUGCUUAGGUGUUGCAGCCUCUGGGGCCUUUCAAAAAAGGUGAGUAUAUAUAAAGACAGAUCAUGUGAGACUUAGAUUGCACACAGGUGGACAUCAAUUCACUAAUUAUGUGACUUCUGAUAGUAAUUGCACCGGAGCUUUUUAUGGGCUUCAUAACAAAGGGGGUGAAUACAUAUGCACAUGCCAAUUCUCUGUUUUCUAUUUCUAAAAAAAGUUUUAUGUAUAUAUUUUUCUCAUUUCACUUCACCAACUUAGAAAAUUGUGUUCUGAUCCAUCACAUAAAAUUCAGAUUAAUAAAACAUUGAGCUUAAGGCUGUAAAGUAACAAAAUAGGUAAAAAGUCAAGGGGGUGAACACGGUAGGAGUAAUUAAAGCAUAAUUUUAUUUUUUUACUAUUUAAAAAAAAUGCAUAAAUAAACUUUAUGUCCUCUCUCCACUCUUCUUACCUUUUCCUCAGGGAGGGGGGAUGUUGCCCUGGGGGUCCAGUGGAGGUGAGCAGCACUAUCCUACCUGCAGCUCCAUUAACUGCAGGCAGAGUUCAGUCCUUCCGUGUGAUCUUUAGAACAUUGCUGUUGUAACCAGCUGCAAUGCUCCGCCUCGAGGCUUCUCCUUCCUUUUCCUGAAGGCCUCCUGUCAGUGUCUGAGGGAGAUCUCGGAUAGCGCUGACUCUGCAUGGGCUGGCAGGGGAGAUCCUGUGAUCUCUGCCCCUGGCCAUUGUGACCCACCGGGCAUUUGCAUGGUGUGCUCGAUGGCCAGUAUGGGCUGCUUUCCAAACUUGUGUGGCCUCCAUCACCAAAAUUAUUUUGUGUAAGGGGUUCAGAGGGGAUUCCCCUUCUUUAUAGGUGUGCUGCCUUAUCGUUAUAUUCCCUGUUUUCCUAUCAGUGCUGAACCUCCUUCAUGAUUCCGAUUACAUUUAAAAUAGGCCAAUGUCUAAGUAGGAUAUCUAUAAUUUCAUCAAAUGCACAGAUGAUCACAGUCGAGAAGAAGGGCCCCUUGUUUUGAGAUAUAUUCCUCAGACGACUGUGCCGUCUGACUCAGGUAUCUGGGGGUUGAGCUCGCUGGGCACUAUACAGCUUCAAGCAUCGAUACACCAUUUACCUCACAUACUACAGCAUCCUUAUUUGUGAAGGGGACCCCCACGAUAUACUCUCUUUUACCAUUUCAUUUAUAUUGAUAUUUAUAUUGCUGUUUGAGUUAUAUGAUUAUUGAGCUGCCUUGUCUCUCUUUUUAGCUCAUUUUUCAGGUCACUACAUUUGUGCAAUUCACCACUUAGCCUAUAUACCCCUGAUUUUCAUCUGGUUUACUUUCCCUUACAAGGGUGUAUUCCCACAUAAAUUUUUUGGUGUUACAACAUUGAUCCAGCCUAUGUAGUUGUUACCCACUACAUGGACACAUUAUAUUGCUACAUCCUGGUUCUAGUUGUUUUGACAGCAUUAGGACCUUGAAUGUUGCAAAGUAUAAUUGGGUAUAAUUUGAAUUAUAUAUUUUGUGGCUUUUUUGAUUUUGACUUCGGAUUUGUUACACACCAUAUUGUUACCUUCUGGUCCUAGUUGCUUCCACAGCAUUAGGACCUUGGAUUUUACAAUUUGUAUCUGUGAUUGAAGUGUUUUUAGUUUUUUUAGAUACUUUAUUAUAUAUUUUGUAUCAUUAUAUUUUACUAUCUUUAUUAUAUUAGUAAAACGUUUCCUGAAUUAUUACAAUAUGGUCACACUUUGUUACUAGGAGCGCUCACACUUCAUUUUUAUAUUUUACAACAGUAUGUAUUAUAAACACAUACAGAUGUAAUCAAAAUUAUUCAACACCUAUUGAAAAUUAGGUUGUCAAAAUUAACAGACUUUCAACUGUUUGCAAUGAACAAAUCAAACAAAAGCAAUUGAAAUAGCUCAACACAACGAAUGCUUCAAGUGGUUUCCCCAAAUUCAACUGAAAAUUCCACUUAUAAUGACUUCUCCUGUCUCAAAAUUAAUCAACCCCCCGAAUAGAAUGCCUCACAACAGCACAAAUAUGCAAAACAUGUGUUGUCUCAAGCAGCGGUGUAUCCUGGUUUUGUGCUGCCCUAGGCAUGACAAAAUUCAGGCAACCCCCCCGCCCUGCCUUCUAAAUGCACACUCACUGACAGACACAUAUACACUCCGUGUCAGACAUACACACUCACUGACAGACACACAUACACACUCUCACUAACAGACACCAUACACACACACUUACUAACAGACACACAUACACACUCACUAACAGACAUGCAUACACACUAACAGACACACACACUAACACACUCUCUAACAGACACACACUAACACUCUCACUAACAGACACACACAUAGUAACACUCCCUAACAGACACACACUAACAGACGCACACACAAACACACUCACAUUUUUUUAAAUUCAAUCCCCCCAGCCUCCCUACCUUCGGGAGUGCUGGGGUGGAUUCUCGCUUUCCCUGGGGUCCAGUGAGGCUGCUGGGCAGGCGGCCGGUCACUGCAGUCAACGGGGGAGCACUGAUCCUCCUGUUCAGCUACCUCGCGUGCCGUUUAGUGAUUUCGGAGCUGGAGUGAGGUCAUAUUCCGGCUCUGGCAUCACUGCGGUGUGCGUGAGGGAGCUGAACAGGAGGAUCAGUGCUCCCUUGGCGCCUGCCUGGAAAGUGCCGCCGCUGACAGUCUCGGGGGGCCCUGAGGUGGCAAGGCAUUUGCCAGGGCGAUUGGGGGGGGGGUGGUGGCUUUUUUUGCCCCACCCCCAGAAGUGCCGCCCAAGGCAAAUGCCUUGUCAGCCUCGCGGUAAAUACAUCCCUGGUCUCAAGCACACCUGAUGCAACUAAUCAAGGAUUCAACACAGUAAAAUUUAAUUAGAACUGUAUGUAAUUUUAAAAUGUCAAGAUUAUAAAAGCACAAUCACUCUACAUAAAAUGUAUCAAAACAUUAACAAAUCCUUGUUUUCCUUCUCAAAUUCAACAGCAAAAGUAGUUGACAAACCACUGAUAAUACUUCUCAGGAAAUUACUAAACACUAUUAAUACUAGUAAACUUAACAACAGUUAUAUGUAUGUGCAGGGGUCAAGUCCUGGGGAAAAAAGUGUGGGAACUCACCCAAGAUUCCCGCCGCCUCCCCCCCUUAAAAAAAAAAAAAUUACACUCCUAUGCAUGUAGUGCAGUGCAGGGUGUGUAUAAUGAAUGUAGUGUGUUUGUAGUGAAUGCAGAGUGUGUAUAAUGAAUGCAGUGUGUUUUUAGUGAGUGCAGAGUGUGUACACUGAAUGCAGUGUAUGUAGUGUGUUUGUAGUGAAUGCAGAGUGUGUAUAGUGAAUGUAGUGUGUAGUGAGUGCAGAAUGUGUAUAAUAAAUGCAGAGUGUGUAUAGUGAAUGCAGAGGGUGUAUAGUGAAUGUAGUGUGUUUGUAGUGAGUGAAGAGUGUGUAUAAUGAAUGCAGUGUGUGCGCGCUGGAUGACGUGUGUGUGAGUGCUGGAUGAUGUGUGUGCGAGUGCUGGAUGAUGUGUGUGUGUGUGCUGGAUGAUGUGUGUGUGUGUGUGCUGGAUGAUGUGUGUGUGUGUGUGUGCUGGAUGAUGUGUGUGUGUGUGCAUGUGCUGGAUUAUGUGUGUGUGAGUGCUGGAUGAUGUGUGUGAGUGCUGGNNNNNNNNNNNNNNNNNNNNNNNNNNNNNNNNNNNNNNNNNNNNNNNNNNNNNNNNNNNNNNNNNNNNNNNNNNNNNNNNNNNNNNNNNNNNNNNNNNNNGUUACAGGAAACAGAAACUCCGCGCGGAACAGAAAUUCCUGUUCCACGCGGAGUUUCUGUUUCCUGUAACCGGCCGGACUGACAGGAAGUGCACACAGUGUGCACCUUCCUAUGAGUCCGGCCGGGCACCGCGGACCAGCAAGCAGCGCGGCCACGCUACAGAGGAGGGGAGAAUAUGUGCUGCAGCCGCCUGAGGCUCUAAACAGAGCGCUCAGGCGACUGCAGCAUUUAAAGGGCCGGCCCUGCAGCGGCCGGUCCCAACAGAAUUUAGGGCGGCCUGGGGGGCAAUUGCCUCCCUGCCCCCCAGCCCAGCCCACCCCUGGGUCAGCACUUGGUUUUGCCUUAAUAUAUCUCACCCCAUAGAGUGUGAAAACUCAAGGUCGCAACAAGGGUGUCCUUUCUUGAUUCUUGCAGAAGGGCUCUGUUGCGGCUUCCGGGCCGCCAAAUGGCGCAGCCGUGCCCGACCGGCACGAUCUCGCCGAUAUUGCGAGCUUACCUGCUCGCCCGCGAGCCGGGAACCGCUCCUCCGCGUCUUCUGGGCGUUGCGCCCAAAUCAAAGAUGCGCUGACCACGUGGUCGUGCACACCACAAGCUCCGCCGCUCAAAUUUAUACGGACAUGCGCGUGACGUCACGACGUCAACACAAGCGCAUGUUCUGGGGUCAGAGGUCACCCACUGACCAAUCAGAGCCCAGAGAGGGAUAUUUAAAUCCCUAAUUCACUCCAGUUCCUUGCCCUGUUGUGGUUUCCUGUUCCUGGUUCCCGAGAGUGCGUUUAUCUUUGUGAAUAUUACUUCCUGGUAUCCUGAUCUUGGCUUUUCCCUGGUUAUUCCGAAUUCUGGUUUCCCUGACUUGGCUUGAUUAAAUGGUAUCUGAGUAGUUCUGGCUUCCUUGACCUCGGCUUUCCCUUUGACCAUUCUCUAUCUCUAGUGUAUUAGUCUGGCCAUUCUAAGGUCCAGUUUAUGCUCUGUCAUUUUAUUUCCUUUCCUUUUUUAUGUAUAUGUUUACAUAGUUUCUGCGUGUUGGACCACACUAGCAGCCAUGACACGCUCCUAGUUAAAGGGACACAAUAGGCACCCAGACCACUUCAGCUCAUGGAAGUGGUCUGGAUGCAAUAUUUCUAUCCCCUUGACCAGUGUUAAUUUUGGAGGCAAUUUUCUAUUUAGUUUUAGUCAUAGCCUUCUGACUAAAAUGCCUGUGGAGGACCACCGUACUCUCACCGUCAAGGAUUCCCUUUCCCGUAGUGUAAUAGUUCUUUCCAGAUUAAGUAGUGAUUAUAGCUGGUAUAGCUUCCCCCCCUACAUUAGUCAAGGCUUAAUGUUAGAAGUANNNNNNNNNNNNNNNNNNNNNNNNNNNNNNNNNNNNNNNNNNNNNNNNNNNNNNNNNNNNNNNNNNNNNNNNNNNNNNNNNNNNNNNNNNNNNNNNNNNNGAUCUGUUGUAUUCAGGCCAAAGACGCAGCAUUUAUACACAGACCCCCGCCAUGGGGUCUCUAUUUAUGGACACUUAAACCCGCUCAUGUGUCUCUGUGUUUGGGAGAUAAUUGAGUUGNNNNNNNNNNNNNNNNNNNNNNNNNNNNNNNNNNNNNNNNNNNNNNNNNNNNNNNNNNNNNNNNNNNNNNNNNNNNNNNNNNNNNNNNNNNNNNNNNNNNCCACAAUGGCAACUUAAAAAAAAAAUAAGUACUGUACUGACAUACAAGAUUCCUUGAAAAGGUAUAUUCUUAAAAACACCACCCCUAUACCUCCGCAUCAUGGAUCUGUGAGGCCCAGAAAAGCAUAACUAGGGAAGUACUUAUAAAAUGGGGUUUGCGUAUGAAGAAGGAAUGCAACACUAAAUUGACUACCCUUCUUAAUAGUAUUAACCAAGAUGAAUCUAGUCAUAAAUUAAACCCUUGGGCCGAGGGUUCUGCAACUGGGUUCACGUUUUAUACUUAGGACCGUCGGCCAUGGUAAGAGUGAAUGGCCAAAAUUCCAACCCACUCCAAAUUAACAACUGAACAAAAUUAUUAUACUCUCCAUGGAACCAUUUCUCCAGGCCAUAUGUAAUAACAGAGGGGUAGGUGGAAUAUCAGUACUUUUAAUUAUAGUAUGUGACUGCUGAAACUUCCCAAAAACAAGAGUCUCUUCUUUUCUGGUGGUACAAUGGGUGUAAAUAGUAGGAUCAGGGAGCAGCGCCUGAGAUGGAAUUCCCACCCUCAGAGCGAUAUGGAGGAGGGAAGGAAAAAGACACAUAUAUAGUGUAGUAUGUUAGGAUCUUACGUGAUAGUAAAUGAGGGUAAAUUAAUUGCACUUACAAUUUUCUGGAGCUUAUACUCCGCUCCAGGUAUAUGCGCCUGGAUGGUAUAAUCCCCGUCUAUGGAUAUGUAGAUGGUCCUUGGAUGUCCUCAAAAGGGGGUCUCCAGCGGUAGUAGGGUAUAUCUCCUUUCAAAUGGCAGUGGGCUGGUAUUCUAAUAGUUGGUGAUAUAUAAAAAAAGAGGAUAGAAACAUAAAAUAGCGCUCUCUGGAUGAUACAAAAUAAAAGGAUAAAAGAUGGAGGUAUACUCACAAGUGGAGAGCAAAUGGGAUAUUACUCAAUAUAUGUAGGCGUAGGUGGUAUGAUCCCCACCAAGGAUAUCAUUUCUUGAAUCCUCCAGUAGGGGUGUUGGGGAGGGUUAAAAGGAGUUAUAUUUAAAAAAAAAAAAAAUAGAAUAAAAGGAUAGGCUUACAGGCUCCAAUAGCAUAAAUGGGCUAUAUUUAUUGGAGACAAAAAAAAAACAGUAACCUAAAAAGCUUUAAAAACACUAACGCGUUUCUCCUGCACAGAGGCUUUAUCAAAGUGUUACAGCAUCAGAGGCCUAUCCUGUUUAAAUAGCAGACACAAUUGAUUACAUCAUUAUAAUUAGUGACAUCAUUAAUCAUGUGAUACAGAAAACAGGUAUUAAAACAAGCAAUAAUACAGUGCAGAUGGGAGGGGACAUAAAAUAGGUAUAAAUUAUCCAAUGGAUAAACAUUAAUUUUAAAGGUGGGGAAGAUAAAAGAAGAGAAUGUGGUAGUUUUAAGAAGGGCACCAAGAUGGCUGCCAAAUUAUGUUACUUGGGGUUACCAACAUGGCUGCUGCUGGCUUAAUUAUACCUAUAUCAAAAGUGUAGAUGGAGUACCUAAAUCCCUAGUAUAGGGGAUGGGAAGAUAGAAGAGAUAUCUCCCUGCUGAAAACAAGCAUUUUUAAGUAAAAAAAAUAAGAGGGAAUUUUCUUUUCUCUUUAUGAUUGGCUGGGGUCAUGUCGCCAGUCUUGUAGUGUAGGAGGUAAGGGAGGGCUGGCCCUAUGGUGGGGAUGACAGACAUGACCUGUGUCACAUAAAAAUAUUAUACAAGAAAGAGGACCAGAUAAAAUUAAUGUGGGGGACCUUGGAACAUAAGAUCAUACAAGAGUCAUAGUCAUAAAUUAUUAUUUACAAAAAGUUAUACAAAUCAAAAUCUACGUUUAACCCCAGGAUAAUAUUUUUAACCACACCACUUUUACACUUUUACUUUUACUAAAGUGUUUAUUCUGUUUUUAUAAACAAUGUAUGACACCUUUUAUGAUCUCAUGUCCCAAGGUCUCUCACAUUUAUUUUAUCUGAUCCUCUUUCUCUUAUGAAGACUUUUAAUCCCACCUUUUUUUACACUUGCCCAAAGUUUUUAUUCUGUAUUUUUUUAUUUUUUGCAAAGUUCUAUUCUCCGUGUACUUUUAGUUUAUGUUUUAUUUACAAUCCUUUUGACUCUCAUUUAAUUCACUUUCUAGUUUCUUUCAGGCAUGUAUUUCUUCAUUUUACUACACUCCCCAUGAUUUUAUGGGGUAGAAGAUCCUUUUGUCCCCUUCUCUUGUCGGCCUCCUCCCCCUGUCUCAUUUCAGUUCAGGUACUAAGUGUUUAUCUCCAUGACGACGUGACCCGGCCAGUCAUGUGACACAGGUCAUGUCUGUCAUCCCCACCAUAAGGCCAGCCCUCCCUUACCCUCUGCACUACAAGACUGUGUAGGGAUGGUCUCCAUGGCAACGUGACCCCAGCCGAUCAUGUGGUUUGGGUUGUGGUCGACAUUUUGUUUUUUGUUUGUGGCUUUUGUUUUUUUGAUAAAACAAAUGUAAAUGCUAAUUUCCAGCAGGAAGACAUCUCUUCCAUCUCCCCAUUACCUAUACAGUAGACCACGACAUUCUACUGCACAAAUUCAAAAAAUCAGGUAUUGGUGAUCGUUCUCUAAACUGGUUUCGAUCGUAUGUAUCGGAUCGCUCGCAAUAUGUGUCCAUUUCUGACAGUGACUCCCUCCCUCUCCCAGUCAUGUGUGGUGUUCCCCAGGGUUCCAUUCUUGGCCCCCUACUAUUUACAUUAUUUAUAAAUGAUCUGCCUAAUGUCUGCCAAUCCUCAAAUGUACACAUGUACGCAGAUGACACGGUAAUCUAUGCGAGCAAAUCCAAUCUACCGCAACUUGAGGCUGUGCUCCAAGACCAGUUUACAGAGGUAGAAAAGUGGAUCGCAAAAAAAAAAAACUCUUCCUGAACACUGACAAAACUGUCACAAUGAUCUUUGGAACAGUACCUAAAUUACACAAAUUACACAAUUCCCUACACAAUUCCCACCUAUCCAUCAAAACAAAUUCAAAUGGCACACUGACCGCAGUCCACUCUUUCAAAUACUUGGGUAUGAUAUUAGACCCCAAUCUAUCUUUUGGCCUGCACAUAGAAAAGCUUGCAUCUAAACUUUAUCCAAAAUUAGGUGCCCUGUACAGAAACAAAGCCUGCCUAAGCCCUACAGUAAAGGAAAAGAUUGUACAGCAAAUGCUGAUGCCAAUCAUUGAUUAUGGGGAUGUAGUAUAUGCAUCUGCAUCGCAAUCCCACAUUAAUAAACUCAACACAUUGUAUAACUCGUUCUGCCGAUUUGUGCUACAAUGUAAUUACAGGACCCAUCAUUGUGACAUGCUAAAAUAACUAAACUGGCUAUCGCUGGAAUCCAGACGCACCCUUCAUCUUUCCAGCCUUGUUUUUUAGAGCUUUUCUGGGAAACUCCCACCCUACCUGAACAAAAUGCUUUCCCCAGCUGUUCCCACUUUCUAUAAGCUCUGAUCCAGUACAAGCACUUUACUUAGUCUACCUCAAUACAAAAAGAAAUUGGCCCGAUCCUUCUUCUCCUAUAGAGCACCGCAAUUGUGGAACGACCUCCCACACAAUUUAAAAUCUUCCCUAAGCCUAAAGUCAUUUAAGAGAUCCCUCUCUACAUACCUCAAAACAGAAUGCACGUGUCAUGGUUGAUUAUAUAUUCCCUGCCUGUUCUAUGUUAAAUUUUGUAUAUAUUGUGUAUUAAUAUUGUUUUUGUAUUUUGUUGUACCUAAUGUAACAAUGCAAUGAUUUGUGGACCCAGGACAUACUUGAAAACGAGAGAAAUCUCAAUGUAUCUUUCCUGGUAAAAUAUUUUAUAAAUAAAUAAAUUUAGGUACUCCAUCCACACUUUUGAUAUAGGUAUAAUUAAGCCAACGGCAGCCAUGUUGGUGUCCCCAAUUAACAUAAUUUAGCAGCCAUCUUGGUGCCCUUCUUAAAACUACCACAUCCUCUUCUUUUAUCUUCCCCAACUUUAAGAUUAAUGUUUAUCCAUUGGAUAAUUUAUACCUAUUUCAUGCCCUCUCAUCUGCACUGUAUUAUAGCUUGUUUUAAUAUGUUUUCUGUAUCACAUGAUUGAUGUCACUAAUUGUAAUGAUGUAAUCAAUUGUAUUUGCUAUUUAAACAGGAUAGGCCUUGACAUUUUCUUCUUUGUUCGGUACUUUCCUGUUAUUUACCUGUAUAUUGAAUGUAUUGGUUCGGUAGUUUGAAACUACCGAACAACGACCACCCUCCUGGCUCAUUAACUACAAAGGAACCAGCUAUUAAGUGCUCCCUGGGCGGCCACUGUUCGUACAGCCGAAUGCCACGUGGAAUAGAAAACGGCGGCCAUCUUGUUCGCACAAGGGGAGUCAGCUGGACUUGGUCGUCAAGUGUCUAGAACUAAAAUCGGACACUUGACUUUGUGAGCCACCGCUGAAACUACCGAACGCUGGCUUCUUGUAUUUCCCGAACAGCCAGGGAAGCUCCAUUUGGUAGUUCUGUGCGAACGGAUAAGGGGAGCAAUCGCUACUAUGAGCCAGGGGAAUCCAUUCGGGACUUUUGUUCGGUUUUUACAUAUUUGUGAAUUGACCGACCGCACACACUGAAUUCAUGGAACUGUUUUGGGCAGGAUCCGCGUGUGUGGUCGGUAAAAGGGACCCUCCACACUUUUUUAGAACUCCUGAACCGUUCUGGGUGAAAUUUGGAUAUGUUUGUCCCCCAGAUCAGGGCUAUCAGGGGAUAUGUAAUUUGUGGGGGUACCUGGUGGGGAAAGGGAUGUUCUGAGUUUUGGGGAAAUUGUGUGCUCUCUGCCUGGAGAUAAUUGGUUUAGUCCUUAACUUAUCUCAAUAUCUCCCAGGCAGAGAGAAGGCGUGUAUUAAUGUAAAUCUGUAUGUUGAUUGGCUGUUGUCUUUGUUUGCUGUGGGAGGACAUCUUGCAGGAGGAUUUCUCAUAAAAGCCCGUGUGUGUCAAUAAAAUUAAUUCCUGUUACACCCUUCAUGAAGUCUAGGCUCAUGUUUGGGGGAUAGUCUAUUUACGUUGAAGAAUCACCUUGGAACUGCAUUUCAUCUACCUUAUUCCUCUACUCCCUGCUGCAGCUAUAAUCACUCAUGCUCAGCUGUUGAGAAAGGGAACAGAAGACCGCAGCACCAUAACCACUGCAGGUCUUAACAACUGGUGGCAAGCGACAGGAUUGAAUGGAACACAUAAGGACAACUGGUGAAUGGCCCAGCAGUAUGAGAAACUAAAAAGGACUACACUAAAGGAUCUGCUGGAAGCUCGGGGACAAGUGGCCAGCAACAAAAAGAAAGUUACCCUCAUAGCAGAACUAAUGGAGGGCGACCAAACCAGCAGCAUGGCGAAUGUCAGCCAGGAGGAAGCUGAAUUUCGACGGAAGGUGAUGUGGAGGCUAAACAUAUAUGGGCCAAAUCCCACACCUGAGAUGGUGACGCAAGUCCUGGCACAAGUGAGUACAGAGCACAGAGCGCAGCAGGCAAGCGUGAACCAAGGAGACAACGCUUCCCUAACUGGAUCUAUAAAUGGAGGGCAGCGGAGAAACAUUAAUUACGCUGCUUUUAAAAGUUUCUCGGAUGAAGAUAUGGAAAUUGACGCAUAUCUACAGGAUUUUGAGUGUCAAUGCGCGUUGGAGGGUCUGGAAUCGGAGCAAUGGGCCGCGAUUUUAAGCAGUAAGCUCACAGGCUGAGCAGCGGAGGUGUACCAAGCAGUUCCUGACACAGCCAUACACGACUAUGCCAGGGUAAAGGACAUUCUCCUAGCCAGGUAUGCCGUGACCCCAGAGACUUACAGGAAAAAGUUUCGGGCAUUGCGGAAAGGGGGCCAAGACUCCUACACCGAAUGGACCUUUAGGAUGUAUCGGGCAGCCCAAAACUGGAUACAGGCCAGGCCACAACGCUAGAGGAGGUGCUGCAACUCCUCUUGCUAGAACAAUUUUUUGACCACACACCUACAGACACCAGAGACUGGGUCAGAGACAGGAAGCCGUCCACAGUCGAGGAAGCGGCUAAGUUAGCAGAUGAGCAUCAUGAAGGAAGAAAAGGAGGAGCAGAUGGGAACCGUCCUCUGGUAAGGUACAGCGCCCCAACACCAGGUCCUAUGGCCAACCCCAGACCAAACCCGGUACCACCCACAACACAGCCUAAUUUUAAUAGAAGAACCCCAGUAGUAUGUCACCAGUGCAAUCAGCCAGGGCACUACAAAAUACAUUGCCCGCAGCGGAGCAGAGGCAACUGGAAGCGGCCCCCACCACCACCAAGGGCCGCCGCUCACCGCUAUCAGCAUGAACCCCUGGAAGAGCACAGCCUGGAUGCGGAGCAGUGGGCCGUACUACAUAAGGUAAACCUAGCCCAAGCCGAGGGAGACAACCAGGUGCACCACAGACAAUGGGUCACCAUAGACGGAAAAGAGGCGGAGGCGCUACGUGACUCUGGGGCUACCCUUACUUUGGUACAACCUCACACUGUGUCUGCAAAGGUGCGCACCAACAAGACUGUAGCCGUAAGAGUGGCAGGGGGCGCCAUCCACAAGUUACCCACAGCCCGGGUACAGUUACACUGGGGCACCAGAGCCAAGCAGAUGGAGGUGGGCAUCAUGUUGGGACUACCUCCAGAAGUUUUGUUGGGGAACGAUUUGGGGUGUCUAACUUCACAGCUGACUCACCCCGAUCCCCACGACUACCAGGGCACAAGCUCGCCGGGUUGGACCGACACACUCCGAGGAACCACAGGUAGGAAACGAAAACCCUGUAACAUGCCCUAACCCUAUUCCCUUUUGGGGCACUCCCCAAGACUUUGGCCAAGCUCAGCAAUCAAAUCCCACCUUAGCGGGUUACAGGAAGGCAGUAGGCACCCCUAAGGAAGGUAAUGCCCACAAGAACUUCCACUGGAACAAGGGAUUGCUAUAUCGGGUUACAGGGGGAGUGGGGCAGGGAGCAGCCCAAGUUAUAAAAUGGCAGUUAGUCGUACCCCGUAAGUACAGGGCGGAGCUGCUAAAACUCAGCCAUGAUAUCCCGCUAGCAGGACAUCUGGGUAUCAAGAAGACUAAGGACCGCCUUACCCAGACGUUCUUCUGGCCAGGGAUAUCCAAAGAUUUGCAGACCUACUGCAGGACAUGUGACACAUGUCAAAGGAUAGGGAAAAGGUGGGACCACCCUAAGGCCAAGUUACGGUCCCUACCUAUUAUAGAGGAACCAUUCUACAGAGUGGCAGUAGAUCUGAUAGGAGCAAUCCCAGCUCCUCCGGUAAGCACUACAUUCUCACAGUGGUGGACUACACCACCAGUUACCCUGAGGCUGUAGCACUGUCCAACAUUGAGGCAGAGACAGUAGCAGAGGCUCUAGUCAGGAUCUUUUCCCGGGUAGGGUUCCCCCGAGAAAUACUUUCAGAUCAGGGAACCCAGUUCAGGGCAACUGUUACGCAACAAUUGUGGCAGAGCUGCUAAUUGUUAUUUAGCUCCCCUUACCACCCCCAGACUAACGGUCUCUGUGAACGAUUUGACGGCACACUUAAGCAAAUGCUCACAGCGUUCACAGAGUUCUAUGGUCAAUGGGAGAAGUUUUUACCUCAUCUCCUAUUUGCCUACCGAGAAGUGCCUCAGGUGUCCACCGGGUUCUCCCCCUUCGAACUCCUAUUCGGGAGAAAAGUCCGGGGACCCCUGGACCUCAUACAGGAGCACUGGGAGGGCAACACAGUAGAGGAAGGGAUCCCCGUUUUGCCUUACGUGCUGGAGUUCCGGGAACGCUUGCAGGCCCUGACCGAAUCAGUUCGGUAGAACCUGCAGGCGGCCCAGAAACGUCAGAAACAAUGGUAUGAUCGAGGAGCACGAGACAGGAACCUGGAGGCAGGGCAAAAGGUACUAGCCCUCAGACUUUCCAAAAAUACAAGCUACAGGCAGCGUGGCAGGGGCUAUUUAAAGUGGUGGAACGAAUUAGUGACACCACCUAUAUUGUGGCCAAAUGUUAAGAUGAAAGGGUCAGACGAGCCUUCCAUGUGAACAUGUUGAAGCCGUACUUCGAACGCUCUGAGGACGUGGCCGCCAACUGUGCCCCGUCCACCUGCUGGCAGCUAACCAAGGUACCUUAGAACAGGUCGGGUUGGGAGAGAAAUUAGACGCCACCCAGCAGGCAGACGCAAAACAACUGCUGCAGGAAUACGGUGAGCUGUUCUCGGUCCUACCCGGGUACACCUCCACCGCAGUGCACCGGGUGGAGACACAGGGGGCGGCCCCCUUACGGCAGCAUCCAUACCGUAUUCUGACAGCAGUGCGGACUAGCAUGUGGAAGGAAAUCCAAGAGAUGCUAGAACUAGGGGUUACUGAGGCUUCCCAAAGUCCCUGGACGUCUCCGGUGGUUUUAGUAUUGACUACCGGAAGUUGAACGACCAGACUAUCACUGACACCUACCCCAUUCCGCGGAUCGACAAGCUGCUCGAUCGCAUGGCCAGCGGGCACUUCCUAACUACCCUAGACGUGUGCAAAGGAUAUUGGCAAAUCCCGCUAGAUCCGGCUGCCAUCCCUAAGUCGGCAUUCGUCACCCCAUUGGAGCUAUACCAAUUUCGGGUUAUGCCGUUUGGGAUGAAGAAUGUUCCCGCUACGUUUCAAAGGAUGGUGGACCGGCUUCUGGAGGGAAUGCAGGACUUGGCAUGUGCCUAUCUAGAUGAUAUUGCCAUCUAUAGCGGCACAUGGGAGUCACACCUGUCGCACUUGGCUACGGAAUUUGGAAAGUUACAAGAAGCCGGCCUCACCCUGAAACCCGAGAAGUGCCAUGUGGGUAUGGCCGAGGUCCAAUACCUAGGGCAUAGAGUAGGGUCUGGGAAACAGCGUCCCGAACCAGCUAAAGUAGAGGCCAUAGCUAAUUGGCUCCAGCCCCGCACCAAGACGCAGGUAUUGGCCUUCCUACUUACCGCAGGGUAUUAUAGAACGUUCGUCCCGGAGUAUAGCACCCUAGCAAAACCCCUUACCGACCUGACCAAAAAGUUCCUACCUAAGUAGGUUGCGUGGUCCCCGGAGUGUGCAACAGCGUUCCAGAGACUUAAAACGGCGUUGAGCGAAGCUCCAGUACUGGCGGCCCCAGACCCUAACAAAACAUUUCUCGUCCAUACAGAUGCCUCCAUGUUUGGGCUGGGAGCCGUGCUGAGCCAGGUGGGGGAAAACGGCAUGGAGCACCCGGUGGCAUAUCUCAGUCGCAAGUUGCUACCUCGUGAGGUCAGCUAUGCCACCGUGGAAAAAGAAUGCCUGGCGCUAGUAUGGACCUUAAAGAAACUUCAACCGUAUCUUUAUGGCCGUGCUUUUACCCUACUGACUGACCACAACCCCCUCAUUUGGCUCAACCGAGUCUCUGUAGACAAUCCCCGGCUGGAGUUUGGCGUUGCAACCCUACAAUUUUACGCUGCAAUACCGCCCGGGCAAGCAGAAUGGCAAUGCGGAUGGGCUUUCCCGUCAAACGGACUUGGAUGUUUAAUUAUGCUACCCAGACAUCCCCUAGCCAACCCGGCAGGGUCUAGGCGGGUAUGCCAACCCAUGGAACUAAGGGGGAGUAUUGUGAAGAAAAUAGACUUUUAAUUGACAUUUCCUUCUUUGUUUGGUACUUUCCUGUUAUUUACCUGUAUAUUGAAUGUAUUGGUUCGGUAGUUUGAAACUACCAAACGAUGACCACCCUCCUGGCUCAUUAACUACAAAGGAACCAGCUAUUAAGUGCUCCCUGGGCAGCAGCUGUUCGUACAGCCGAACACCACGUGGUUUGAAAACGGCGGCCAUCUUGUUCGCGUGAGGGGAGUCAGCGGGACUUGGUCGUCGAGUGUCUGGAACUAAAAAUCGGACACUCGACCUCGCGAACCACCGCUGAAACUACUCUUGCAGGAGGAUUUCUCAUAAAAACCCAUGUGUGUCAAUAAAAUUAAUUCCUGUUACACCCUUCAUGAAGUCUAGGCUCAUGUUUGGGGGAUAGUCUAUUUACGUCGAAGAAUCACCUUGGAACUGCAUUUCAUCUACCUUAUUCCUCUACUCCCUGCUGCAGCUAUAAUCACUCAUGCUCAGCUGUUGAGAAAGGGAACAGAAGACCGCAGCACCAUAACCACUGCAGGUCUUAACAGGCCUCUGAUGCUGUAACACUUUGAUAAAGCCUCUUUGCAGGAGAAACGCGUUAGUGUUUUUAAAGCUGUUUUAUGUUAGUUUUUUUUGUCUCCAAUAAAGAUAGCCCAUUUAUGCUAUUGGAGCCUCUAAGCCUAUCCGUUUAUUCUAUUUUAUUUUUUAAACAUAUAACUCCUUUAAACUCUCCCCAACGUCCCUACUGGAGGACUCGAGGAGUGAUAUCCUUGGUGGGGAUCAUACCACCUACGCCUACAUAUAUUGAGCAAUAUCCCAUUUGCUCUCCACUUGUGAGUAUAUCUCCAUUUUUAAUCAUUUUAUUUUGUAUCAUCCAGAGAGCACUAUUUUGUGUUUCUAUCCUCUUUUUUUAAAAUAUAUAUAUAUAUAUAUAUAUAUAUAUAUAUAUAUAUAUAUAUAAUCUAUCACCAACUAUUCGAAUACCGGCCCACUGCCAUUGGAAAGGAGAUAUAUCCUACUACUUCUGGAGACCCCUUUUUGAGGACAUCCAAGGACCAUCUACAUAUUCAUAGACGGGGAUUAUACCAUCCAGGCUCCAGAAAAUUGUAAGUGCAAUUCCUUUUCCUUUAUUUACUAUCACUUAAGAUCCUAACAUACUACACUAUAUCCGUGUCUUUUUCCUUCCUUCCUCCAUAUCGCUCUGAAGGUGGGAAUUACAUCACAGGCGCUGUUCCCUGAUCCUACUAUUUACACCCAUAUGUAAUAACAACCAGAUUAGUGGAUGAACUUCCCAGGGGGUGAAAUAAGUCUCUGCAUUUGCAGACAAUAUUCUGUUUACCUUAACUAAUACCACCCGAUCGUUACCCAAGAUAGUUGAGAAAUUUAAUCACUUUAGUGCCAUAUCCAACUUUAAGGUCUAUACAGAUAAAUGCAAGAUGCUUGAUAUUCUGGUGUCUCCCGCAGGCAGACGCAAGAUAACUCAAUCCUUCAGUUUCCGAUGGGUUACAGUGGGCGUUAAAUAUCUCGGUGUUCAGAUUACCACCUACUUAGCUUGCAUCUACAAGGCUAAUUAUAUUCCCCUAGUGGAAGAUAUACGUAAGGACCUUCAACUACCUCAUCUUUCCCUUAUGGGGAGAAUUAAUAUUCUCAAGGUAAUGGUGCUCCCAAGACUUCUUUACCUCAUGCAGAUGGUACCAGUUAAUUUGCCCAAAACAUUCUUCUCUAUGCUCAAACAUACAUUUGUCAUAUGUGUGAGGCUCCCAACACCCCUGCAUUUCUUAGCAGACUCUUAUGGGCCAAAAGGGACGUUGAGGUCUACCACACAUGUACCACGACUGCUUGGCUGUCUUCUUUACUAGACUGAGAAAAUGGACACUUAUAGAUAAGAACAGUCUUGAUAUGACUUAGAAAGGUGGUGCGGGAAUUAGUCCAACUGUAUGCUGUGCUCAAUGACGUUAUUUGUCAUUCGGGUGCUUGUGUUGAUUUUACAAAUUGUUUGGUGUUGGUAUUUUUGUCAUCAAACUAAUUUUAAAGAGUGAAUUUGGGGAACAAGAAAGUCCCUGUAGGAAUUUAUUUUAUUUUAGCUGAUUGCCUCUUUUUUUUUUUUUUGGUAUGUCCCUCUCUUGCUGUAAUUCUGUGUUGUAGAAUCUGUUCUGUUUGUGUUUUUUUAGCUCCAUAGGUUUGUGCACACUUAUUCAUGGACAAGGCAGUAAAGGACCUGUAGCUUUUAUUUUUUCCCCCCCAUGAAUCUGAAAAAAAAUGAAAACAUAAAUAGUUUUAAAUGGACAACUUUUACUUAAAGGAGCACUAUAGGGUCAGGAAUACAAAUGUGUAUUCCUGUCCCUAUUAGUGUUAAAACUAUUAUUUUGGUCCCUGGCCACCACUUAUCUCCCCACGCCCCCCUCCCCCCCUGCUUUUAACAAGUUAAAAUGUUACAUUUCAUUCUCAUGCUGCACAGGUCUGCAAGCACUGGCCUAGCCCUCAAUCCUCCAAUCAACGUCAUUGAGCACAGCUUACAAUAUCAGAAUUCAUGAUCUCAGCCAGUCCAAUGCCAUAAUGUCAUGCUGGGCAGAUGCCAAAUGCCAUGCUGGCCAAUCACUAUCUUCUCAUUUAGAUGCAUUAAAACAAUGCAUCUCUAUGGGGAAAGUUCAGCGCCUUCGUGCAGAUCCUGAAGACCAUGAACGCCAGUGGUACAUAUUUUGCUUUCCCCACUGUGACGGACCGCUUGGCACCCCAACCGGGUGCCUCCGUCAAUCGAUGCUCCUAGUGCUCACUGGGGAAUCCAAGCACUCCACCAGACACCAUCCGCACUGUAGACCCCACAAACCACCGCAGCUUGGUUGGGGUCCUCCACCCACCCUCGACCCAAGACCAGGAUCCAGCUUCCAGUGGGUAAACCUCUCCUACUCCAGAGAGUAUAGCAGGAGCAGCUCUUAUAAGAGCUAGUGAUUAGAACCCAGGGGAGUAUGAGUAAAGCAAUCCCCAGAGUAAAUAUAGCUGUCCCCCCACACAUGAGACGAGGCUCUAUGUUGAGGGUGAAGUGGAACUGAUUUUAAUGGUGCCACACUUGGUCUUAUAUGACAAUCCCCAAGCAAAGGGGUAUGCCCACAUGGACCUGAUUGGUAGAAUGAUUUACAACAUCACAGACCAAUAUCAAUAAGGUUACAAGGCACGACACUCCCACACACAGCACACAAUACCUCCCCUCUGCCUGGGAGAUAAUGAAUCAGUAACUGUACUAAUUCUAAUCCAAUUAUCUCCAAGCGAGGGGUGGAGCUGAGCGCCAGACAGGAACGGUAGCAUCACCUCUGAGCUCCGGACAAACAACGGCAAAAAGGCCCUGAAACAAAGCCCUGUGGCACUUGCAGAGGUAUUCUACCAGCCCCCGGGGCAACCCCAGUGAGCAACAGGCUGAUGCCUUUUUUGUAUCUGCAAACGGGCAGAAAGAUCCGACAGAAAACCGGGGCCUACACCGCCGACCAAGCUAGGUCUAAACAGAUAAAUGCUAGGUCUACCCAGAUAGCACAAAACCUCACAGCCCUGAGAGUGCACCAGAACGCCUACCUGCAGACUGGGACAGCCGCGCCUGACGACUACAGCAUGAGUAGAAAAUCCCAGAGACCCACACAGAACACAAGCAGGACCACACAGGACAUAGGUGACCUGCUGCAAAGACCAAUGGCACCCAAGAUGGCGGCCUCACCGGACCACACAACUACCUCCCAAGAUGAAGGAGAGCAAUCCGGAGCUGAACAAGAAAAAUCAGCCGCUCAUCCAACGAGGGACCCACAAACUAACAGAAUUAACCUCACACCGGCUACUAAACAAGACAUAGCCGACCUGUUAAAAGAAAUGUGACAAAUGCACGCAGCAGAUUUGGACUUGCUAAGGACUGAAAUGCAGGCAGUAACUACACGCACUCAAGCCACCGAAGAGGACAUCCUAGACCUGAAACAAGAAGUAAAGGGGCUAAAAGAACAAGUAAUAUUCACGCAGACAUCCCUGUCCAACCUCACUAUGAGAAUGGACCUAGCAAAGGACCGCAACAUAUGCACUAACUUAAAACUAAGGGGGAUACCGGAUAGCGUUGACUCCACAGGACUACCCCACUACCUCAGACGCCUCACAGCCACGCUCCUACCGCAUGCCCAAACCAUAAAAUUCACACUAGACAGCUUCUUUAGGAUCAGAAAAGCAAGACAAGCCCCAGCCACAGCUCCACAAGACGUCAUCAUCCGGUGCCACUCAGUGGCGGACAAAAUCAAGAUCCUUACAGCAGUCAGGGGAAAACCACCGCUUGCUUUCGAGUCAUCCCACAUUACCUUCUACCAGGACUUAACAAGAAACACGCUGUUGUGGCGCAGGCCCCUGGCACAAGUGACGAGCAGUCUGCACGAAGCUAAAAUUGAGUACAAAUGGACUCUACCAAGGACUCUGACCGUAAAACGCGGUACCACAUACAAUCUCUCCUCACUACAGGAGGCAGAACAGUUACUAUGCGUACUGGGGAAGCAUGCCGGACCCGCAGAACAAGAAACUCCCACGACAUCGCACACUUGGGAUCCUGAAAGAACGACUCCAUUCAUCCCCAGGAACAGAGAGCACCGGAAUGAACUGACCUGAACUGUAAAAAUUGUAGCCAGCAACCAUACAAUGCAUUAACCGGUUACUGCGUUACCUUCUGUUUUACCUUUGGUUUCACUUGUUGUUUUACCUUUUUGUUUUAUCAAUGUAUUGCUGUAACAUACGCACCCUACAAGACUAACUCAUGCUACACCAUAACUCCUGCUGACCCAACAUCAGACAAGACUCACUCUGACACAGUACACCAAAAGCUCCAGGGAGAAUACACCACCUCCCACCCGCCCCUCGGUAAGGAGUCAAUUCCCAACCCACUGGACGACCGCUGAGGCACAAAUGGGCUCAAUGAGUGACAACUGCUUACCUAUACACAAACGAACACACGCAGACACACGCAGACUUCACAGUACUCACUCGUAGACAUAAACGUCACUGAGGACAACCAUUUACACACGCAAUCAACCCCCAACAUGGAACACAUAAGGGGGCACAAACGUGCAAACAGCCAUCUCCAGACAGACAACCCUUGGGUUCUUUACCCCCUGUAACGAUACCUUACCUGGGUCCGCCGAUCCCGCGCGGCACGACAGCUUCCCCGGCUACUUCCGGGAGGCGGCACGGCCUCUCGGACGCUGCCCGCUCGAGGCAAAAUCCGUUUUAUGACGCGGCGCAUGCGCGCCGACGUCAUAAUGAUUUUGCCGCGAAAAUUCAAACGCAGCCACGCUCCCGAACCUUUUGGGGGCGUGGCUUUAAAGUGACACACACAUUAGUAUAAAAGGGCAUUCCUGUCCACACCUCAGUGCCCUAGUGUGGUUCUUGUUUGUUCCCCUAGUGCUCUUUUACUGUUUAGCUGUUUUUCUGGUAUUUUGACUCUUGGCUUUCGUUCUGACUAUUCUCCUAUCUGGCUCCCUGACUUUUGGCUUGGUUUUUUCGUAUAUCCCGAUUUCCGUACUCCCUUGACCCUCGGCUUUUUCUUGACUAUUCUUUGACGUUAAGUCCGGCCACCCUAAGGUCCGGUAUACGUCCCUUUCAGGGUUACCAUCUGUGUGAAGGGGUCACUAUCGUGACAUUACACUAGGGCCAUGGACCCUGCAGGUGCUAAUCCUCAUGGCCCGGUUCCUGAUAAUCGGUUUGAGGAGCUGGAUCAUCGUAUGGACCAGUUUGCUGUAGCCGUUCAGACCCUGUUAGCUCGGACUGCACAUCUACAGCCAGAGGACCAUAUUCCGGGUCUUAGACCUCAGGAACCUCAUUUGGAGAUGGCGGCAGGGGGAGCUUCUGCCCAUGCCACAUCCCCUCUCCGUUAUGGAGGUGAUCCCAAGGGUUGUCGGGGUUUCCUCAAUCAAAUAAGUAUUAACUUUGAACUUCAUCCUAGGGCAUAUCCUACCGAUAGAGCAAAGAUUGGUUAUAUUAUAACAUUGUUAGUCGAUAGAGCACUAGUUUGGGCUAAUCCAUUGUGGGAAAACGACAAUCCCAUAGUUUUCAACUACGCAGAGUUUGUCGCAGCCUUUAGAAGAACAUUUGAUCCCCCUGGGAGACGUACCAAUGCUGCUAAAACCCUAUUACGAAUGAGACAAGGGUCUCGUUCCCUUGUGGACUAUGCCCUAGAAUUUCGCACUCAUGCUGCAGAGGUCAGAUGGAAUGAGCAGGCCUUUGUAGAUGUGUUUAUGAACGGACUUUCUGACAAACUUUUAGAUGAGGUAGCCACCCGAGAUCUCCCUAAUGUGUUGGAAGAAUUAAUUACAUAUCUAGCACAUAUAGAUGAACGUCUCAGACAUAGACAAAACACCAGGGAUAGACCUAGGCGUAUGCCAGAACGCCUGGCAUUAACGUUUCCUUCAUCUGAGGAAACCUCUGUCGCUCCAAUAGAACCCAUGCAACUGGGAGCCACACGGUUGUCUGAACCUGAGAGACAAUAUAGACGAAGGGAGGGACUUUGUAUGUAUUGUGGGAAAAGAGGACAUACCCGCUUACACUGCCCAAGCCGGCCGGAAAACUCCAACGCCUAAGCCCUCAAGGAGGACAGGCCUUGGGUGUAACGUGUAUGUCCUCCUUCCAAGAUAGAAAAGAACUCAGGCUUCUUCUACCGAUAACUAUAGAAUGGGAGAAAAAGUUAAUAAAUACUUCUGCGCUAAUAGACUCUGGGGCAGCUGAGAACUUUAUUGACCGUACUUUCGGCCAACACCACAACCUCCCAUUUCGAGAAAGAACAACACCCUUGGCCGGUGAGGCCAUAGAUGGUAGACCAUUAUCCAUUCCUUUUAUUACUCAAGAAUCCAAACCCUUAGUCUUGACUGUAGGUUCGUUGCAUAAAGAAACCAUAAUCUUACAGCAAAUACCUUCUCCUACUUUUCCGAUUAUACUUGGGUUUCCUUGGCUUACCAAGCAUAAUCCUCUAAUUAACUGGGAGAGGAAAGAGUUAGUAAAAUGGGGUGAUUCUUGUUUUAAGGAUAGUAUCAGUCGAGUUAAACCUAUAGGACUCCUCAACGUUCCUACCAUGGAACCAUUAACCACUCAAGUACCCGAACCAUAUCGGGAUCUCAAGGCAGUCUUUGAACAAAGGGAAGCAAACAAAUUACCACCCCAUCGUUCUUAUGACUGCGCUAUUGAUUUGUUGCCUGGUACUAUGCCCCCUAGGGGUACCGUGUAUCCCCUCUCUGUAACAGAAAACAAAGUACUGGAAGAGUACAUCACAGAAAAUUUGAAGAAGGGUUUUAUUACCAAAUCAUCCUCCCCGGCUGGUGCAGGGUUUUUUUUUGUUUCCAAAAAGGAAGGUGACCUAAGACCCUGCAUCGAUUAUCGGGGAUUAAAUAAAAUAACAAUACAAAAUGCGUAUCCUAUUCCGCUCAUUACUGAGCUUUUUGAUAGGUUAAAGGGUGCUACCAUAUUCACUAAACUAGACCUACGGGGAGCUUAUAAUCUAGUUCGUAUUAAGAAGGGACAUGAGUGGAAAACGGCCUUCAAUACUCGCUAUGGCCAUUAUCAAUAUAGGGUUAUGCCCUUCGGUUUAUGCAACGCUCCGGCAGUCUUUCAAGAUUUUAUAAACGAUGUAUUAAGGGACUAUCUACAAAGGUUUGUUGUUGUUUAUUUAGAUGACAUACUCUACUCUAGGAAUAUCAAGGAGCACCAUAGGCAUGUUAGAAUAGUAUUAUCCAAAUUAUUAAAGAACGGACUCUACUGUAAAUUAGAAAAAUGUUUGACGUGGAGAAGGUUAAUUUCUUGGGUUACAUAAUUUCCGGUUCCGGCUUUCAAAUGGAACCCAAAAAACUAGAAGCCAUUUUAAAUUGGCCCCUACCCGUUGGACUUAAAGCCAUCCAACGUUUCCUGGGGUUUGCUAAUUACUAUAGAAAGUUUAUCAGAGGAUUUUCCUCUAUUACCGCUCCUAUUACCGCUAUGACAAAAAAGAAUAGAAGUCAUACGGUGUGGAGUACUGAAGCUAAGGAAGCCUUUGAAAAAUUGAAGCUAGCCUUUUCUUCAGCCCCGGUGUUAAGUCACCCUAAUCCUUUGCGUCCUUUUUUGCUAGAAGUGGAUGCUUCUGAGACAGGGAUAGGAGCUGUACUCUCUCAGAGAUCCUCGAAUGACCAGCCCCUACAUCCCUGUGGCUAUUUUUCUAAAAAACUGACGGAAACAGAACGAAGAUACGAUAUAGGUGAUAGGGAAUUGUUGGCUAUCAUUUCAGCACUCAAAGAAUGGCGGCAUCUAUUAGAGGGGACAUCUGAACCGAUCAUCAUCUUCACUGAUCACAAGAACCUCUCCUAUUUUGGAGAAGCUAAAAGAAUGACUGACAGGCAGAUUCGUUGGUCUUUGUUCCUAACACGUUUUAAUUACUUAGUGACAUACAGACCCGGUUCUAAGAAUACAAAAGCAGAUGCCUUAUCUCGGCAACAUGAGCACAUAUCCCCACCAGUAACCCAUUUAUCUUCUAUAAUCCCUACUUCACAAAUAGUGGCUACAGUACGUACUAAAAUCUCUUCUAGCUUAAUAGAAGUAUUGUCUAAAUUUCAAAACCACAACUCCCUGACUAUCCCUCAGGGGAAAUUAUACGUACCCUUCAAUUAUAGAAGACGAAUCCUAUCCUUGGUACACGACUCUAAGAUUGCCGGUCAUCCCGGUAUCCAUAAAACAGAAGCACUACUCGAAAAGCAAUUCUGGUGGCCUUCUUACAAGAAGGACAUUCGAGAAUAUUUCCUGGCCUGUAACAUUUGUUCCUCUAGUAAGUCUCCUAAAAGUCGUCCUUUAGGCCUUCUCAUGCCGUUGCCUAUUCCCGAAAUGCCCUGGUCAAGUAUCGCCAUGGAUUUCAUAGUAGACCUGCCACCUUCAAAAAAUCACCGGGUGAUUCUAACUAUCAUCGAUAGAUUUUCCAAAAUGACCCACCUAGUCCCUUUAAUUAAACUUCCUUCAUCCUCAGAACUGGCCACGAUAUUCAUAAGGGAGGUGGUUCGUUUACAUGGUAUCCCUACAGACAUAGUCUCUGACAGAGGCUCACAGUUUGUUUCCAGGUUUUGGAAGGCGUUUUGUGUUCAGUUAGGUAUCAAACUUAACCACUCCUCUUCGUACCAUCCCCAAUCCAACGGAGUUACUGAGAGAAUGAAUCAGUCACUAGAGCAGUACCUCCGUUGCUUCAUCUCCGAUCACCAAGAUGAUUGGAAGGAGUUACUCCCUUGGGCUGAAUUCGCCCACAAUAACUGGGUUCACGAAUCAACACAACAUAGCCCCUUUUUGUAAAUUAUGGCUUUGACCCUACUACUCUUCCGAGUUCUUUUUCAUCCUCCGCUGUGCCUAGUGUUGACUAUACUGUGAGGAAUAUGAAAGAAACUUGGUUAGGGGUCAAGCGUAUCCUGACUCAUAAGGCCGAUGCUCAAAAACGCAAAGCGGACACCCGGCGCAAGAAUGCUCCUAAUUUUAUAGUGGGAGAUAGAGUGUGGUUGAGUACACGCAAUAUUAAAUUACGAGUCCCAUCUAUGAAAUUUGCUCCGCGAUUCAUUGGUCCUUUUAGGAUCCUCCAACGGAUUAAUCCAGUCUGUUAUCGCCUGGAUUUACCAGCUAAUAUGAGGAUUCCCAAUUCCUUUCAUGUUUCUCUUCUGAAACCUUUGAUUUGUAAUCGCUUUACUCGUAAACCCAGGUCUCCUCGUUCUACUCUCAUUGAUGGCCAAAACGAAUACGAGGUUAGGUCUAUUUUAGACUCUCGUAUCUCUAGAGGUCGGCUCCAGUAUCUGUUGGAUUGGAAGGGGUACGGUCCCGAGGAAAGGUCAUGGGUUGAUGCCUCGGACGUGCACGCGCCUCGCCUAGUCCAUUCCUUUGCUAGGCGUCGUUCUCGCGGACCCUGUCCUGCCCGCCCUGGGGGCGGUCCUCGAGGGGGGGGUACUGUAACGAUACCUUACCUGGGUCCGCCGAUCCCGCGCGGCACGACAGCUUCCCCGGCUACUUCCGGGAGGCGGUACAGCCUCUCGGACGCUGCCCGCUCGCGGCAAAAUCCGUUUUAUGACGCGGCGACGUCAUAAUGAUUUUGCCGCGAAAAUUCAAACGCGGCCACGCUCCCGAACCUUUUGGGGGCGUGGCUUUAAAGGGACACACACAUUAGUAUAAAAGGGCAUUCCUGUCCACACCUCAGUGCCCUAGUGUGGUUCUUGUUUGUUCCCCUAGUGCUCUUUUACUGUUUAGCUGUUUUUCUGGUAUUUUGACUCUUGGCUUUCGUUCUGACUAUUCUCCUAUCUGGCUCCCUGACUUUUGGCUUGGUUUUUUCGUAUAUCCCGAUUUCCGUACUCCCUUGACCCUCGGCUUUUUCUUGACUAUUCUUUGACGUUAAGUCCGGCCACCCUAAGGUCCGUAUACGUCCCUUUCAGGGUUACCAUCUGUGUGAAGGGGUCACUAUCGUGACACCCCCCCACACUACUACAAUCCUGGCACUGGAAGGGAAAAAGACACAUUCCUCAAAAUUACUCCAAUGUUGCCUUAGUUUGACACCAACUGACCCAUAAAUUAAAAUGUGCAGAACUAGCUGACACCACAGGUUAGAACUGGCAGACUGAUAUAUGCCUAAACUAUGUUGUGAUGUCAUGAAACACUCGAAAACCCGGAAAGGCUAUUGUGGCCAUACGGGUAGUAUUGUAACUAAUCUCCAAGCACAGAAAAAACAUACUUUUUCAAAACACCCCAAAAGUAUCCUAUAAAUACAUAAAACCCCACAAAAGUUACAUCGCCUGAAUCACCCAGAUCAGUUCAGGACUUAAGGAAUUGCCUGGAAGUCGUCGUUUUUACCGACCGCAUGCAUGGUCCUAUGCCCAAAACGGAUUCAUAGAAUCGUGGCUAAGUGUCACUGGGGAACCGACCGGGAACCGCAAAGUCUUCAUGCUGAAAAUAGUUCCAGGGCAUUCACGGCUAAGUCCCCCUGAAGUCUAUUUAUGGUUUUGGCCGCCAGGGAGCUAGCGUUCGGUUCUAUGGAAAGUGCUGAACCAGGGGGAAUAAAAUAUGGAUCUUUACAGUCGUUGACUUGGCCUGUAGUCUUUUGGCAAGAGGCUGGCCAGCAGGCCCCUCCAAGCACCCAUGACGAGGUUACUUUAGCUACACCCACCCUUCAAUAAGUUAACAUUUUACCUUUAUUCCAGCGCUGCGCGGGUCCACCAGUGCUGGCCUCGCUCCCAGUCCGUCUCCUUGUAGCUGUUAGUAGGCCCUUUUUGGCCAUACUGGCAUUGCUUGUAGUUUCUUUUACUGCAAGGAGGCUCACUAGAGACCAGUGUUUGUGUGUUUGAAUGUAAGCAUGUUAUUGUGCAUGUAAGGGUGUAUUUAUAUGUAGUGUUGGCUUUUAAAUAUAGGUGUGCUUUUGUGUAUAGUGUUGGUGUUUGUAUACAAUUUUAGUAUUUUAAUACAGGGGUGUGUUUGGGUGUAAUGUUUGUAUGCUUUGAUAUAUGUGCGCACACACACACACAUACAUACAUACAUACACUUAAACACACAUAUACACACUGAAUUACACACCAAUUCAUAUACACACUGACACAUGCACACACCUUGACACAUACACACUGACAUAUAUAGAUAUCCAGUUGCAAGAAAAAGUAUGUGAACCCUUUGGAAUGAUAUGGAUUUCUGCACAAAUUGGUCAUAAAAUGUGAUCUGAUUAUCAUCUAAGUCAGGGUUCUCAACCCAAUACUCAGGACCCCCUACCAGUCCAGGAUUUGGGGAUUACCUGGGUGUGUCUCAGGUGUUUAGAAAAAGGGGAAAAACACCUUAGACUCUAAGGUGUUUUUUUUUUCUUUUUCUAAACACAUUAGACACACCCAGGUAAUCCCUAAACCCUGGACUGGUAGGGGGUCCUGAGGACUAACGUUGAGAACCCCUGAUCUAAGUCACAACAAUAGACAAUCACAGUCUUCUUAAACUAAUAAGACACAAAGAACGAAAUGUUGCCAUGUUUUUAUUGAACACACCAUGUAAACAUUCACAGUGCAGGUGGAAAAAGUAUGUGAACCCCUAGACUAAUGACAUCUCCAAGAGCUAAUUGGAGUGAGAUGUCAGCUAACUGGAGUCCAAUCAAUGAGAUGAGAUUGGAGGUGUUGGUUACAGCUGCCCUGCCCUAUAAAAACACACACCAGUUCUGGGUUUGCUUUUCACAAGAAGCAUUGCCUGAUGUGAAUGAUGCCUCACACAAAAGAGCUCUCAGAAGACCUACGAUUAAGAAUUGUUGACUUGCAUAAAGUUGGAAAGGGUUAUAAAAGUAUCUUCAAAAGCCUUGCUGUUCAUCAGUCCACGGUAAGACAAAUUGUCUAUAAAUGGAGAAAGUUCAUCAAACGUUUGAUUGAAGUUAUUGCCGCCAAAGGAGGUUCAACCAGUUAUUAAAUCCAAGGGUUCACAUACUUUUUCCACCUGCACUGUGAAUGUUUACAUGGUGUGUUCAAUAAAAACAUGGCAACAUUUAAUUCUUUGUGUGUUAUUAGUUUAAGGAGACUGUGAUUGUCUAUUGUUGUGACUUAGAUGAUGACCAGAUCACAUUUUAUGACCAAUUUGUGCAGAAAUCUAUAUCAUUCCAAAGGGUUCACAUACUUUUUCUUGCAACUGUAUACGCACACUGACACACCAAUGCACACGGACACAGAUGUGCGCACGCACACAAUCUUAUUUACUCAGAUAUACAUACACAUUAAAACAGAUACACAUAAACACCCUGACACAGACCCAAAGAUAUGCACACACUGACACAUGCACGCAUGCUUAAACACACUGAAAUAUACAAACCUGGAUACACACACUCAUAUACACACACACAGUGACACGGAUACAAUGUGACACAGAUCCACAAACACAUAUGCAAAAACACAAUCUGAUAUAAAUCUUAAUUUUUACAUUUGCAGUCACCCUCCUGUUAACAUGCCUUUUGUUUCCAGGAGGGUGGCUUGCUUGGAGUUCUGCUGCUGACUGAGGGGAGCACAUGUAGUUGUCUGCUGCAGUUCCUGUCUUUCUUCCUACUUGCUGCCUGUGCCUCCUCCGCCACCUCCCAUCCUCCAUACGCAGUCUGUCAGGAAGAAGCUAGGAGGCACGUAUCACAGGGGCCCGGUCGAGGUCUUAAAGGGCUGUGGUACCUGACCAGGCGCCUGUUUAGCAUUAAAGAAAGAAUACCCAUCGGGUGGCCCCGGCGGUAGUUCCAUCACUGGGUCCCGGCAUCACUGCAGGGCGUGCAAGGGAGCUGUGCUGGAAGAUGAUUACAGCUCUUUCGCCAACCUCCACCUUCAUUUCCACCCCCCUUUGGUAGAGUAGGAACCUGCCAACCAGGUAAGCAGGUGCCUACUCUGCAUUAGUGCACAGCUGGCCGACUCCUAGGGUUGCUAAGGUUGCACACUAGUUCUUGGAGUACCCCCUGUAUUUGGUGCACAUACAACUUGGGUUAUGUGUACCACUUGUUGAGAAAAAAGUUGUAAACCAAUAAUUACUGGACUAAAACAAUAUUUCAAGUUGCAACAGUAGUUUCCAGUAGGGGAAUAUUCACUAAGUGGAUUUCUUCUUAGGUUGCCAUAGAUAUAGAAAAAAAAAGUCACUACAUUGAAUUAUAAACUUAAUUAAAAGUAAAUUAAUGUAGACAAAUAAAUACCCUUACAUGAAUUCAACCUGUGUGCCACCCAGACUCCUCCCAGAGGUCGGAGAAAUACCAGAGGCUCAACCUGCACUCCAGGCUUGACUUACAUCAACGCGUUUCACCAAUUUGGGGAUUUAUCAAGAUAAAGCAUGGCACAAAUUUAUCGUGCUGCAAAAGAGUCAUGCAAACUUUUCACCUCUAUCACAAUGACAUUAAGUUGAGAGCUGGAGCGUGAAGAAUUAUUUUGACUUCCACCACCAUUUGGAGAAAAGAAUGCACAAUGUGAAAGAGAGAAAUGCUAAAUCUGCUAAAAUCCUAAAAGCUGUAUAAAGCUAUGAUCAUAAAAAAAUAUAAAAUAUUUCUCCUUACAAUUCUCUCUGCCAAUAUAAUUCCCUGGAAAACAAACAAAAAACAAGCAUAUUUGAAGCAUAUCUUAAGUCUAUGUCUACCCUAGUAUUUUCAUUAUUAGAUAUUCUAUUAACUGUUGCCAAUAGGAGUGAAAGCACAACUCCUCUGUGUGAAAAGUUCACAAUUUGCAAAACUAAUUUGGAAACUCUGUGGCAAUCCAAAAUGUAGGCAUAUAGCUACAGCUCUAGUGAAUAGGGUAGGCAACAAUGUAGUCCAGCCUGUAUAAACCACACAAAUCUCAGUGUAAAUUACAAUAAGCAUUCCUAACAUCAUAACACAUCUACUCAAAUCAAGCCAGAACACUCCAGAGAACAUGAGGGAACCCCAAAAACCAAGGGGGGUGGGGGUUGUAUAAGAAGACAAAGGGGGAUGUGGCUUGGAGGCCGAGGAAGAUGGCAGCCAAAACCGGGAGCUCCUUGCAGGCUCAGCAACAAUGCUCGCCGGAGACCCACAAUAUCUUGCCAACAUGGGUAAAACUCAGGCUACACAAGCCAACAAGCAUUCCGACACUCCUAAGGGGUCCCAAGCCUCUGCCAUGCGCCUAUACCUUCUCACAUCGGCUGACUUGGCUUCACAGGCCUCAAAUGACUCGGAGGCUACAAACUUUUCUCGCGCACAUUCCCCAAGUGGUGACCAGCCUGGCAAAGCCUUACUUACCAAGGCUCCCCAGCAACCACAACCAGACUGGGUGGAGCUGAUCCGCAAUCUCUAUACAAAGGCGGACCUGAAGGAGGCGAACACCACUCUCCACAAGUUGAUCGCUGCAGAACUACACACCCUCAGAGAGGACAUCCAGGGCUUAAAUAAAAAAGUGGCCCAACUGGAGGCGGACUGCGACCACGUGAUGUCGGCGCAAUCUGCGAACACGGGAGCACUGCACCAACACGCAGACCAACUCUGUCAGAUGGCCUUACAUUUGGAGGACCUCGGCAAUCGUGGGAGAUGGCAAACAUACUGAUAAGAGGUAUGGCGGAGAACCUCAACCAAACCGCCCUGCUUAGACACCCUUACGGAGCUAUUUAACAAAUUACUGGACAGGCCGGCAACAACGCCUACUGAAUUUAAGAGAUGUGGUCUGCUGCUUUGCCCACUUCCAGCUCAAGGAAGACAUUUUGCGCAAAGCCAGGGACACAGGGCAAGUUCUAUAAAAUGCAGUGGAACUCCAGCUGUAUCCUGACCUAGGUGUCCACCUGUGUGUCUGCUGUGUGUUCUAGUUUGGUGCAGGUGCUGGCUUGCUGUGCCCCCAUCUCAUCCUCCCGUUUCGGGCCUGCCCUGGAGCUAAAGUUGCAGUCCAAGAUUGUGUCCGCGAUGGUAAGUAUCGUGCCAGGGCGCCUUGCUGGGGGUUAGCCCUUGACUGUUGUGGGUAACAGGCUAGUUUGUACCUGUAAGCUGUUUGCGUUGUGAGCACUGGGUUGUUGUUGCAGGCCCCCUCAUUGCCUUCGGCACGCAUGGCUUCCUCCAUCUUUGGUGAGAUGCUUAGGCCACUGAUCGUGGUAGUGACGCUGCUGGGUCUUGGUGGGCCUGUGGUUGUCGUGGCCACUGGGUAGGGAACGGGAUAACCCGCCUGGUCCAGAAGGGGGGUGGGGACACCAGUUGGAGACCCGGGAAAGCGGCCAUCCCUACCCGGCUCAAGCUCCAGAGCGCUUCGGGCCUUGUCGGGAUACUUUGGAAUGCCAGGCAGGGUCUUGAGUGGUAUCCCUGUGUACCCUAGCUGCUGGAGGUCGCUGUGGGCACCAGUAUGGGUCAGUGGUUGUGUUUGGCACCUAGUUGGCACAGAUUUUCAGGCCCAGAAGCAGGAGCUCAGACGGAGCACGUUUGAUCCUGUCGGCGGUCAGGACCCGCCCCCCCGUCAGUGCUUUUAAUGUUGUGGCUGAUAAGUGUCCAUAACACAACAGGCAGCCUACACACAAUACCACAAACAAUCUACACAUACACAACUCUACAAAACACUUAUGCCACACACACAAAAUACUACAAGCCAACCCCUCCACAAGCACAAUUCUACAAACAACUAUGCAUGCAACCAAUAUAUGCAGUCACACAACACCAUGGGCAUCCCACACACAUAUAUAUAUAACAUACAUAAUGUCCACAAACAUACACACAAAUUCAACCUUACAAAGCAUCAACCGCACCCAUACACAAAACAUGCCGAAUUCUCAACAUACAUAAAUGUUACUUUAAAAAUAAUAAAAUAAAAGGUCUGGCUCUCUAUUGUACUGGCUUGUAUUACUUUUAGUCGAGCACAGCACUACCAAAAUGUUCGCUCCCCUUGGUGUAGAUGAAGUUUUUGUGAGUUUGAAAUGUCAUUUUGCUACUUUCCUCUCCCUUCUAAUCUAGCGCUAUACUUUUAUCUCCUUAAUUUUUCCCAUCUUUGUUUUCAAACUGUCUCCUUUUAUUUUGCAGUUCUCUCCUAUGGAGUUCAUGUUUUUUGACAGAUACAAUUGCAUGGAGAGAAUUUAUUUUUUUCCUGAUAGUUAUACUAACUUUAUAAUAAGUGGAUAUUGCAUUUUAGUGGAUUUAAUAAAAGUUCCUACACCAUAUUUCAUUUGUGUUUUUUUAAUCUUUUGUUAACCCUUUGGUGUAUACAAAUUUAUUUUUAAUACCUCAUUCUCUUUACUAGUACUUGAAAGAAUAUAGUUCAUGGAUAAGAGCUUGGUAGAGUAGAGCGAACCCGGACUGUAAAGUUCGGGUUCGUACCGAACAUUAAGUUUUUUGGACCACAGACCCGAACACGGACAUAUCACUGUAUGUUCAGGUUGGCGUUCGGUGUUCGGCGAUUUAAUGGCGUGUUUUGAAAGGCUGCAGGGCAGCCAAUCAACAAAUGUUUGACUCAUGUGCCCUUAGAAGCCAUCAUAGCCAUGCCUACUAAUGGCAUAGCUGUGAUUGGCCAGUGCAGCAUGUGACCCAGCCUCUAUAUAUAAGCUGGAGUCGCGUAGCGCCGCACGCACAUGAGUUCUUAUUAGUGUAGGGAGAGGAUGCUGCCGCUUUCAGGGACAGAUUAGAAAAAAAAUUCUGCAUACUAGAACAUUAGUGGGGUGCACUUCAUAUCUGAGAGUCAAAUAGAAGCGUCAAAUACCGCGGUUACAUCGGAGUUUUAAAAAGUCAAUUUUUGUUUGGUGCUAAAAAGCACAUUAGUGGGGUGGACUUCAUAUCUGAGAGUCAAAUAGAAGCGUCAAAUACUGCGCUUACAGCGCAGUUGUAAACAUUCUUAUUUUCUGGGUGCUAAUCUGCUAAAUAGUACAUUUUGGGCAUGCUCUUCAUAUUUGAGAGUCAAAUAGAAGCGUCAAAUAGUGCGCUUACAGCGCAGUUGUAAACAUUCUUGUUUAACUGCUAAUCUGUUAAAUAGUACAUUUUGGGCGUGCUCUUCAUAUCUGAGAAUCAAAUUGAAGCGUCACAUAGUGCGCUUACAGCGCAGUUGUAAAAAUUCUUAUUUUCUGGGUGCUAAACUGCUAAAUAGUACAUUUUGGGGCCUGCUCUUCAUAUCUGAGAGACAAAUAGAAGCAUCAAAUACCAAUAUAACAAUAUUGUAAUUCGGGGGCAAUACCCUCACAAGUCAAACUGAGAGGUCAGUUUAUAGGGACAAUUGUUUCCUGGAUACAAUUCUAAAACAAUUUCCAUAUGUCCUUUGCAGACUUUACAUGCUGGAAAAACACAGGUGCCAUCUGCUGUGGCUUUCUGCAGUGUGCAGACCGGCAAUGAGGGCAGGGUUGAGGAGUGGGAGGAAGAUGAUGUGGAGGAUGAUGAGGUCCUAGACCCCACAUGGAAUCAAGGUCAUAUGAGUGACAUGUGCAGUUUGAAGGAAGAGGCGCUGGUCGCACAGAGGCACCAGCACAGCAUAAGAGGGAGCAGGGUGCAAAAGCGGAGAAGCCGUCCCCUAGUGCUCGUCGGCAUGUAUUAUCUCUAGAAUUCCCACAGUUAUCCAAGUAACUGAUGGAGCUAUAAAAGGAACCAUAACAGAUUUAACGAGCCAUUCGCAGUUUCGCAUUCCGGUGACCAGGACCCAGACACUGUCUGGGCGUCGGUCGGACGACCGGGACCCAGGAUGUCUGAUGUUGAAGUUAGGAGUCACAGUGUGGAAUGGAUUAGCAGGGUCUGGUGCAGGGAAACCGCACGGCCCCUGGUGUUGAGCACCAGCGUUUGUGCGGCCACGUACCAGGACCCUGAUGCAGCUUCAGUAAAAAGAGUACUGGAUACCAGAAGCCAUCACCAUACUGAUCCGCAACUUGGAACAGGAUGUGACAUUCACUGUAGUGGCUGUGUGCGCUUUCGGCAUUCUCACCCUGCUGCUGCUCGCCUGUCUGCGCUGCAGCGUAAGUUUGGCCUUCCCGCUCACCGCCUCUUAUGCAACAUGCCCACAGGGUGGAACUCCACCUUGCACAUGCUGGAGAGACUGUGCGAGCAGCAGCAGGCGAUAGUGGAGUUUCAGCUGCAGCACGCAUGGGUCAGUCGCUCUGCACCAGACUUGCCCUCCAAUUGAUCAGAGUUAAAGGAUUUCAAAUGGACUCAUUACAAUUACAGGGCCUCUAAAGAGUCCUGUAUUGUUAUUUGUCGUCACUAUCUCCCCGCGUCGAGAGUGGGUCAUUUGCGCACCUGCUGCCUUCCUUGCAUGUGGUAGCUGUUUGUCAGGGUCCCUGUACGGAAUCGAACCCUGAUUCCCCAUUACCCAUGGUCACCAUGGUAGGCCCAGUAAAUGGCAUCGAAAGUUGAUAUGGAUUGACAUACGAAUGCGUUGUCGCCUUGUCGUUGGGGAAAAAGUGCUCUAACAUGACAAGCUGGGUGAUCUCCUCCGGGAACUUGGCUUGAUGGGAGUUGAGCCAUUUCUGGGUGGCCCUUGUGAGGCCACGGUGUAUAAUCAGAUAUAUUAGAGCUGCUGCAGAAAGUGCGGGCCGUCUGGGAGCGCUUUCGGCAUUCUCACCCUGCUGCUGCUCGCCUGUUUGCGCUGCAGCGUAACUUCGGCCUUCUCGCUCACCGCCUCAUGAAACUGUGCGAGCAGCAGCAGGUGAUAGUGGAGUUUUCAGAUGCAGUACGCACGGGUCAGUCGCUCAGCGGAACAGUUUUCUUUUUUUAGAUGUCCCAAUAUUUUGGGGGCUUCACCAAUUAAAAAAAUUAAAAAAUAAAAUUAUAUUUAUAUAUAUAUAUAUAUAUAUAUAUAUAUAUAUAUAAAAAAUAUAUAGGAAAUAAGGCUUGCACUCACGGUCUGUGAUGUGAUGAUAACAGACAUGUUUUAAGAAUAUUCCAAUAAAGAAGAAAUAUUUUAUCAUUACUACAGACCGUGAGUGCAAGCCUUAUUUCCUAUAUAUUUUUUGUAAUUUUUGGCUAUGGCUUUUUUUGCACCCGGCAUUUUCUGAUACUUUAAAGUGUGUGUGCAGGAUACCACUGGAUGAUAUCUAUAUAUAUAUAUAUAUAUAUAUAUAUAUAUAUAUCAGUGUUGGCUACCUCCUUCUCCGCUACCUAUGGGUCACUUCGUAUAAACUAUGUACACAAUAGCAGAGGCUUGUGAAGGCCUUUUCUCUAUGCAUCAGGAGUUGAGCAUUUCUCCAUGCAUCAGGACUGCAAGAAAUGCACUGCAGGCCGCAAAUGUUUCUUUUUUUAUAUGUCCCAAUAUUUUGGGGGCUACCCCAAUUAAAAAUAAAAACGACAAAAAAAAAAAAAAACAGUGUUGGCUACCUCCUCCUCCUCCUCAGUUUCUGCUCUGUUUUUCCAAUUUAUGGCUGACAAUGACUUCACAGUCCUUUAAAGUCCUAAAUAACUCAGUUUUAGUGUAUAGAUCAUUCCCCUGCAAUUUCACUGGUCAAUUAACUGUCAUUUAGGAGUUAAAUCACUUUGUUUCUGUUUAUGCAGCCCUAGCCACACCUCCCCUGGCUAUGAUUGACAGAGCCUGCAUGAAAAAAAACUGGUUUCACUUUCAAACAGAUGUAAUUUACCUUAAAUAAUUGUAUCUCAAUCUCUAAAUUGAACUUUAAUCACAUACAGGAGGCUCUUGCAGGGUCUAGCAAGCUAUUAACAUAGCAGGGGAUAAGAAAAUAUUAAUUAAACAGAACUUGCAAUAAAGAAAGCCUAAAUAGGGCUCUCUGUAAAGGAAGUGUUUAUGGAAGGCUGUGCAAGUCACAUGCAGGGAGGUGUGACUAUUGUUCAUAAACAAAGGGAUUUAACUGCUAAGUGGCAGAGGAUUGAGCAGUGAGGCACGGUCUAUACACCAAAACUGCUUCAUUAAGCUAAAGUUGUUCAGGUGACUAUAGUGUCCCUUUAACUAAAAUUUUACUUUCUGUGAAAUCUCCUCCUAUACUGCACGUCAUACAGGACAUCAUUCUUGAAGGCAUACCAUGUUUAAACAACUCCAAAAAUCACAUUUACUGUUCCUUUCACACUCAAAUAUUACUUCAUGCCUUGCGAACUAUUUGCUGAAAAUUAAUCAAAUGUUUUUGUUGUGCAGAAAUUGCAUGCUGAUUCUACCUAUUAUGCUACUGACCUAUUCUUCAUUAUACUUGAAGGAACUCACUGGAUGGUAGAGAUUUUGAGCCUUAUACAUAACAAUGGUGACCCUACCUGGUGCCAAAAAGUACCCAAUUGGGAAAGAAUGCCAUGGCUUGAAGUUCAUAGGGAUCCUUCAAAGCAUGUUGAAGAGCAAUCACCACGCUAUUUCUGCUCUCAUUUACCCAUACAGUUGUUUCCAAGGUCUUUCUUUUCCUCUAAAGCAAAGGU